Molecule: long non-coding RNA, 77189 nt
Filed under: Zostera marina
Lineage: Eukaryota; Viridiplantae; Streptophyta; Magnoliopsida; Alismatales; Zosteraceae
Description: long non-coding RNA (ZMAR_LNC000329)
Source: RNAcentral
UCGAUUUCGAUACCGCCGAACCCAUCGCCAAUCUCCGAGGAACCUCCGCUCGCCGAACAGAGCAACGGCCGUCCGGAUGGAUCUCCGGGGAACCUCCGAUUUCGAUUCAAUGAACGGUCGAGAAUUUUUUGGGAAGAUGGACGGCCGGAUCUGAGGUCCGCACCAGUGACCGUUCCUACUACCGGUCGUUCCAAAUGUCUUCCCUAUAUAUUGGAAUUGUUUUUUCUCAAAGUUUACCAUAGUAUAUGAAUACAGAGUCAACUUUUAGAUAGUGCUUCGCAAACAACUAUAGUAUAUGAAUACUGAGUUAUAUUGUAAGCACAAGUUAUAUUAUAGAGUAAAUGACCAGAUAACUGGAUAUAUAUAUUUGAUAAGCAAGUUAUAGAGUAACUAGAUAUAUAUUUUUUUUUUUGAAGCAAAACUGGAUAUAUAUUUGAUAAGUAAAUGCUUGAACAAAUAUUUGAAUAAAGAUUUAAGGCAAUGAAUAUAACCUCAGAUAGUUGACCAGAUAACUGGAUGAGGGAUCUGCGUAAAGUAGUCAACCUCUGUAUUUGACCAGAUAACUGGAAGAGGGAUCCUUUUCAAUUAAGUGUUGUUUAGUUGUUUUUAGAUGAAAGAUAAAAACUAAAGUUAACAAAGAACAACACAAGAGAAUUUAUACUGGUUCACCCAAACAAGGGCUAAUCCAGUCCCGACCAACUGUCGGAAUUCACUAGCCUAAAGGUUAUGGCAAAACCUUAGAGUAUCAAGGAAACUCUUAAAAACCUCUUUAAGCUUUAAGGCUAAUUUCGCUUAAGAACCAAUCUUUUACGGCUAGACUCACACCUUAGAGUAUUAUAGAACUCUUAAAAACCUCUAAUUUUUACGGGUAAGUUAGUACCUUAGAGUAUCAAAGAACUUUUAAAAACCUUUCUAAGCUUUAAGACUAACUUCGCUUAGAAAUCAGUCUUUUACGGGUAGACUCGCACCUUAGAGUAUUAAGGGAACUUUUAAGAACCUAAAAAUCUUUCAAGGUAGAUUCGACCUAAGAGUUUUCCCGGAAACUCUAUAAAACCAAACUAAAGCUUUAUGGUUGAGCUCAAAAACCUUCUCUCACACUUUAGUGAUCUUGAGACAAACCUCUCAACCAAAGUGAACACACACAAGAGGUGAUUAGAGGAGUGGAAUAUUAAAGCAAACAACACUUCUUACUUGUAGAGAUGAACAAGAAGAUUAGAAGAAGAAGUUGGAGACCUUUUGAAGCUUUGGAAAGCUAGGACACUUGAGCACUUUAAUUUGGAAGCUUGGAGGCAAAAACGUGUGAUCUCAAAUGUGAAGUGAAAAACUCUUUGAUUGUUUGUAGUGUGGUGAGUGAAAAUAAGGGGAAUACCCUUCUAUUUAUAGCCUUGGUCAUUCAAUGUCCACCAUUGGAUCUUCAAUGGAUGGUUCCUUGAUUUCUCACAUAAAUCCAAGUUUUGUCUUUGAUCUUAUCUUGAAUAGUGUUUUCUUAAAUAGUAUUUGUUGGAGAAUCUUAUCUUUGGAAAAAUUCAAAUGUGAAUAGUAUUUUGUCCCAUUGGAAUAUUAUACCUUGAAUAAAGAGUCAAAUAAUAAUAAUAAUAAUAUUCAAGGUAAAGAUGCAAUUAUUUCAAUUUGACUUUUAACUUUGAAUUAAACGUUUGACUCAAAUGAUUAAUUUAUUAAUUGGAGUUAGGUUUAAUAUCGAUUGACUUAUUUAACCCUUAUAAAUUAAUAGUGUAAUUAGAUUUUAAAUUGACAUGAUUAAAAUAUAAUCAUAUGUCGACAAUUUUCAUUCUACAUUCUCCCCCUAUGUCGAUGGCAUAUAUGUUUUAAUUCAUGUCUAGUUAAUAUUCUAUUUUACCCUUAUGAGCAUGCUCCCCCUGAAUUAUUGACCCAUAAUAUUCAAUUUAAAGGCAGUGGAUCAUGCAUGAUAUUUCCCCCUUAAAAUAAUAAGGUAUCGACAAAGUUAAAAUAGAUACAUGUGAAGUAUCUCCCUCUUAAUGAUAUGACAUAUCUAAUUUGUGGAGCAAAUAAAACUUCAUACCUUAUUGAGCUUUGAUCACAAAUUCGAUUUGUGUGGUUGACCAAAUGUGACUUCUUGCUUAUAAAAAGUGUUAGUCAAUCAUAUAGUAGAAAUAACAUGUAGUUUAUGUUCAUUGAUAAAAUAUUGGAUUGGAGCCAAUUUUGAUAUAGAUUAUAAGGCAAGUAUAAUAUGAUAAUUUAAAUUGUCUUGUGUUAAGAUCAUGCAAUGACCAUGUGUAUUAUGGAUAAAUUGAUCUUAACAUUGUAUGGAUUAAAGAUUUUAUAAUGUUAUAAUCCAUAAGAUAUAUUAGUCAAUGAUAUAUAUGUAUGUAUAAAUCAAUAUUCACUAACUACUAUAAGAAGAAUUGAGCACUUAAAGUUUUAAAAUCUAUGUCUUAGUGACAAAUAUAUAAUCAUGUAAAUAUUCACUAAGUUUUAAAAGAUUUUAAAAUUUUCAUUUCAACCCUUAAAGUCUUAGUAGUAAAAUUUCACUUAAAAAUUUUCAUUUAAGCCUUUUGAAGUUAUGAUAAAUACUUAGAUUAAUACAUAAAAAAAUUCAUUUUAAACCUUGGAAGUAUUAAAUAUUUUUAAACAAUUUUCGAUAGAAAACUUCAUGUAAAUAUUAAUUCUAAGUCCCUCAAGUUUUACAUAAAUUUAUAUUCACUGUAAAGAUAUCAUCUUAACCCUUAAGUUUCAGUGAAUUUUUUUAAACUUAAAAAACUUCAAAAAUAAUUUAUGUUAAUCCCUUGAAGUUUUUAUGCAGUCUUCUAAUAUUUUUCAUCUUAAUAGUUCAAGAUUUUCAAGAUACUUUGCAUGUAUUGUAAUGAAUAUAUAAGUAUCCUUUUAAUCUCUGAAAGAUCUUAAAUAGUUGAAGAUAUGGAGUUAAUCAUAUCUCUUUUAUUUAAUAGUUGGAUCUUUGAUGAUUCUUAAUGAUAAAUUAUUUUAUUUGAGAAUCAUAUUUACUCUUAAGUCUUUAAUACUUAGUGAAAAUUGAUUUUUUAUUAAAGUUUUUCACUAAAAAUAAAGCAGGCAUAGGUCUAUGGUUAGACCUUAAACAAAACAUACUUAAACAAAGUAGAAACAUCUAUCAAACAGAUGUUAGAGUGGUGUUUGAACAUCAUCGAUCAAACCAAAAUGAACAUCUAACUUAGAUGGUAUCGAGUAGGCAUAGCAAGGUAACCAAAAUACAUGAUUACACAACACUAUGGUUAAUCAGUGAUGGUGUUAGCUUCUUCAGUGGAAGCUUUCAAUAGAUCGAUUUGAUGUUGCAUGUCGGCGAUCAAAAUUCCUUGGUUUUUAAUACUUGACUCCAACAAUUUAAUCCUUGAUUUUGCCUCAUCGAUCUCCUUAAGCAAGUGAGUAGUUGUCUCAUCUUUGGUUGUGGAUUGACUCGCCUGCUUCUUCCCUUUGUCUGUUAUAAGAUCCAUCAACUUUUUCCAGUCUGGAUCAUAAGAAUUCAUUUUGAAGACGGAAGAGAUAGGAAUGGGUGAGAAGGGAAGGUUUUGGUUUGAGAGUGAAUAACCUUGUAUUUAUAGAUGAAGCUUUCAAUCUUUUUAGGUUAACACUUCUACUUUAGUUUCCAAGAAUUUCUUGGUUUAACUAGACCAUGAGAAAUCGUUUGAUCAUCUUAUCUUGUAGUCUCUUUCUCAAGAGAAUUCUUCGAUUUCCCAUAUACUGACAUAACUUAUUAGGGUUAACAAGUAAUGAUAUUUUGAAACUAUUAUCUAAGCCAUGUCUAACUCUGGAAGAUUAGCAGCUUUAGGGUUGGUUUUUCAAUAAACCAUAAACCCUACUUGAUGAAUCUGGUUAGUUAGAUUCAUCCAGAUGUUUUAAUUUAAAUUUCUUAGACAGAAAUUUAACUUUUUAGAUGUCUACCAGAUCUGAAUUUGGAUAUGUUUCAGAUUUUCUAUCCAGAUUAAAUAGUUUAAAUCAUACCUUUUGUAGUGAUCGACGCAUUUCUUGCACUAUUCACGACAAUCCAUGCUCCUAGCCUCUGCAGUCGGCGAUUCUGCUGGUAAAGAUUGAUGUAUUCGUGUAGUGCAGGUGCAAGAUAGUCUUCUGCCAGCAAUCCUUGCAAGGUGUUUUCAUCGUUGUGCAAGUCACACAUCGGGCAUGGUGUUUGUUGGGUGUCGUGAGUGACUGAUUGAAUUGGUUGCGACAGGUUUGCUGGAUGAAGUUGCAGCAUCGAGGUUGCAGAAUGUACAUACAGAGAUUUUCAAUGCCAUAUGGUAGGGUUUGGUUUACCAAUACCAUGUGAUGUUGUUAAUUUUGCUCAAAGUAGGAUAUAACAUCAUGUAGUAUGUGUGCAACAUAGGAUUAAUCUUAUAAUUUUCUCAAUUAUGUAUGUGUGAUGACAUGGAAUAUGCAUUGAUUCAUUUAUUUAUAGAUUCAUAUAUGAUUGCAUGUCUACGAUUCAUAGAUAAGUAUUAACAUGCAUUUAUGAUAAGUCAUAGUAUCAUGCUAUACUCAAAACAUGUGUUUUAUAUCUUUAAAGACCAUAUACGUGUACAUGCAUAAUAUUGUAAUAUUUACUUUACCAGGCAUGCAUUUAUCAGAUAGUCAUUUAAAUCAUGUAGUUUCUAGUAGCAUGGUGGAUAUGUAGACAUGUAUUAACGUGAUUCCAUUGAUAUAUAUGAUAGUCAUACAUUCAAGUUAAGCUCUUCAUUUUAUCAUGCAUGCAUAUGAUGAAUUAUAUUAGCAUGUAUAUACUUAGUCAUGUAAAUCUUAGAUUUUAAUUUGUAAAUUCAUGCAUACGUAUUUUCAUUUUAAUGUGAUCUUAAUUUGAGUUAUGAUCAAGGUUAUAAGUAUUAAGAUAUUCAAGUGAAGAAUAUUAAGACUAAAGCUUGAGAUGUAUUGACUUAAAACCAAGUAAAUAUUUAUCAAAUUUCACUAAGCUCACAUAUAUCCAUAGAUCUUCUGAUUUUCGAAUGAACUUCUUGAUCUAAGGGUUUAGUAAAGAUGUCAGCCAUUUGAUCUUCAUUAGAAAUAUAUUCUAGGCAGAUAUUUUUCUUUUCUACAUGAUCUCUAAGGAAAUGAUGUCUGACAUCAAUGUGUUUAGAUCUUGAAUGUAACACAAAGUUUUUUGAUAAAAAAAUUGCACUCUUGUUAUCACAUUUAAGAGCUACUAUUUCUAAAGUUACAUCGUAGUCGGAUAAUGUUUGUUCUAUCCACAAAAUUUUAGCGCAUGCAUUAGAUGCUGCCAUAUAUUCUGCUUCAGUUGUGGAUAAAGCAAUAUUAUUUUGCUUUUUACAUGACCAUGCUACGAGUGAGCUUCCCAACAGAAAGCAUGUUCCACUAGUGCUUUUUCUGUCAGUCUUACAUCCACCAAAGUCAGCAUCACAAUAUGCUGUCAGUGUGAAUGAGUUGUCCUUAGGGUAGAAUAAUCUAAGUGUAAUUGUUCCUUUAAUAUACCUGAUUAUUCUUUUAACCGCUUUGAGAUGUGACUCUUUUGGGUCUGAUUGAAAUCUGACACAUAAACAGACUGCAAACAUGAUGUCUGGUCUGCUAGCUGUUAAGUAUAACAGUGAUCCAAUCAUCCCUCUAUAUUUCUUAAUGUUUACUGAUUGACAUUCAACAUGAUCAUGGAUUUUGUUACAAGCUUGCCGCUAGUAAAGGGACACACCGUCAUCAUAGUGGUCGUCGACCGGCUCAACAAGUAUUGCCACUUGGGAAGUUUACCAUCCAGCUAUUCAGCCACCACAGUGGCCGACUAUUUCAUCAAACAAAUAGUUCGACUACACGGAAUCCUGAAGACCAUCGUCUCGGAUAGAGACAAAAUUUUUCAAAAGCGGGACAACCUUAAAGAUGACAACAGCUUACCAUCCGAUGGUCAAUCGGAAAUAGUUAAUAAAAUAAUUGAACAAUACUUGCGGGCAACAAUCCAAGACAAUCAACGGGGUUGGAUCGAGUUGCUGUCAUGGGCGGAGCUUUGGUACAACACUACCUAUCAUCACAGUCUAGGAACCUCUCCAUUUCAAGCACUAUACGGGAGAGCUCCUCCGGCAAUUAUCAAUUAUAGAGCGAGGGAUUCCAAUGUAGAGGCGGUGGAUGUUCUAUUGAAACAACGGGACUAACUACUACGGGAACUACAAAUCCACUUAAAAGCAGUGCAAGAAAGAAUGAAGAAGUAUGCGGAUGUAAAGCGUCGACCAUUCGAGUUCAGUGAAGGAGAAUGGGUCUGGUUACGAUUACAGCCCUAUCGACAAAAUUCAGUCGAUCACCGGAUAUGCGUCAAGCUAGCAAAACGUUACUACAGACCCUUCAGAAUCGAAAGAAAAAUAAGCUCGGUAGCAUACAAGCUUAAACUGGCAACAAGUAGCAGCAUAUUUCCAGUUUUCCACAUCGCCCUAUUAAAGCCAUUCUGAGGAAAGAAUCCGAAAGAAACGACGAGUCCUCUGCCACCGCUGGCAACAGAGUCGCACCCAAUUAUUUGUCCCGCAAAAAUUCAGGCCUAUCGGAAGAUAAAGCACAAGGACAAAUCAACGACGCGGGUUUUAGUAGAGUGGGCGGGGCUGCUACCAGAGAACAAAUCGUGGGAAGAUAUUGAAGUAAUUAAAAGACUGGUAGUAGAUAGUAAUCUUGAGGACAAGUUCGAAAUGGAAGGAGGAAGGGAUGUAACAGUUGAACUACAAUUGGACUCAGUUACAGUCCGACUCAAGGAGGAUCUAGGACUGGUGAGUCAACCUGAGGAACGAGCUAAUGAACAGCCUAACAGAAUCAGGCCGGGAAAGAAGGACAGUAGUUUUGUAUACUAUUGAAUAAGUUGUUGUAAUCCUAGUUAGCUACUUUGUUGUUAACAUUGAAAGUCCAUAAAUAAGAUAGCAUAAACUCAAGGGAGUUAUGCAACCAAUUCAGUCCACUAAAACUACUCAUCUCCGGCUUCCAAUUCGGGAGAAUUCUGAUGACAGCGCAGUUCGACGGACUAACGUCGUAACAGAUGGUUCUACCUCUAUUGCAACGACAUCUAAUCCUUCUGUCAAUGACCAUUCUAUUACUUUAGUUAGAUCUCAUCCUCUUGCAAUUCAGAAUUCCCCUGAAUUUUGGGACUCAACAAUACGCAGUGCAGAAGAGGUUGAAGCUAGAAUUCGUAUAACCAAAAAACAUACCUACGAAGAUCUGUCAGCAGUUGCUAGAUGUAUUGAAUUUUCUCCAUGUAUUUUAACUCCACAACCUCUUUGUGUGACCUCAGCACCAUAUAAGGUAGAUGAGUUUUUCAUUCAAUAUAAAUUUAAUAUCAAUAAAUUAAUUAUCAUUAUCAUUAUCCUAAUAUAUCUAUUCUUUAAGGUUGCGGAACAGAGAAAAGGCAAGGAAAAUAUUAAACCAGAUACUAUUGAACCAUCGAAAGUAAAUGAAACUAAGCAUAUAAUGUUACGAAAAUAUUAUGUCAUUUUAGUUUCCUAAUGUCUUUUUUUAAAUUAUUGUUUAUUGAUUAUUGUUUUUUUUUUAAUUAUUAAUAGUUAUAGAUCAAAAAGGUUUGUCGUUGACUUCGAUACUACUAUCUCAUGCCUUGGUCAACAUGUUGUCGAUGUCAUUCAUCACAAAGUCUACGAUUCAAAUGUACGUAGAAGAACAUUUUUAUCUUAGUUUGGUAUUUUAAUUUCUUUACAAUGUUCCUGACAUCCAAUGUAUGAAGUUCGUAGAUUGUUACAAUACUAUAUUAGUCCAAAGGAUGAAAGCUAAAGGAUAUAAUACAUCAUCCUUGAUAAUUUUGAAAUCAGAUAUAUUUGAUGAUACUGAUAUACGUUGUUUGACUGGUGGUAAUCCUGAAGAUGCUGAACUUAUUAGACUCAAACGAUUUAAAAAUGCAGUAAUAUCGUCAAUGAAAUUUUCUAAAGAAUCACUCAAAUUUAUUUUCAUUCCAAUUCGAACCAAUGAUCAUUGACAUUUUCUGAUGUGGUAUAAAGAUGAGAACCUAUACAUUUAUUUCGAUUCUAAUCAUAUGGUUUUUGGGAAACAGAAUCUUGAAGCAUCUUUGCAAACGGUAUGUAAUUCAUUUGUUCGUUUAAUUUUUUUUUCAUCACUUUAUUUUUAUUAAUUGCAUAUUUUCUGAUUUAAUUACUAUAUUCAAGAAAUAAUGAAUAUCAAAGAACAACAAAGUUAUCAAUCAAUUCGUUCAAUCCCACAAGAGAAUGACGCUAGAUGUAAUGGAGGAUUAUACAUGACUUAAUGAAUAAGAUCUGUUGCAUAUGGUGUAAUGCUACAUGAAAAAGCUAACACAAAACAUCUUUUGGUUGAAGGUUUAUAUUCAUUAAAUUUGACCGAAAAACAAGUACCGAAGAUUAGAAAUGAAAUUUUUCAGACUUGCGCUUUAAUGAUGCACUAUGAACCUUGGUAAACGUUUACAUUAAAUUACAUCUUUUACAGACGUGUCCUUGUUGUAUCUAUUUACCGAAACAUUUAAUCGUUGAUUUUCUAAUUUCUAUUUAAGACUGGAAUCUUUUAAAUGUUAUCAGACAUCUUCAUUUCGGUUUAAUUUUGGGUUCAGUAGUCCUUUCUUGAUAAUGUAAACCAUUCUUAAUAAUGUAAUCCCGCAUUAUAUAGUUUAAUCACGUUAAUCUUGAAACAAUUAAUGUUAAAUAACAUCUAAAAAUUCAACUAUUUCAAAUAGUUAAUUAAUGCAGAGUUGAAAGUUCUUAAUAGAAUUGAAUUUAAUAAUAAAUUUCAAAUUUUAGCAAACAAAUUUUUGGUACUAGUACUACGAUGAUGUGCUAAGAACCUUGGUAAUCAUCUAUAUGUACGUUACAGUUUCUUGAGUUGUGUCAUUGUUAUCUGCAUUUACCACAACAUUUAAUCUUCGGUAUUAUAAUUUCUCUGUUAGAUUUGAAUCUUGAAUCUGUUUUUCCUGCCCUCCCAUGGUUUUUCCCGCUUCCUUUUGUUUUUGCCACUUUAGAAUUACCAAUAACAGUUAUCCAAUUAGAAUCUUUUUGGAACCUCGUUAUUGAACCAUAAUUCGGGUUCUCAAUUGUUUGACCGAAUUUUGUUUCUAGAUUCCCCACACCGUUUCUUAACUCUUUUUUUACCUCUUCCGUAGCCAUAUCAGAAAUUCGCGCAAUAUUCAGACAUCUUGUCACGAGUUGAUUUAUUUCUUUGCUUCUGUUCGACUGAUCUUGUUGUAUAUCACCUACAGAUAGAGUUCUUUUCCAUCUAUCAAGUAUCAUAUAGCUAGAAAGAUGAAGAGUCAUUAAUUAAAUGCAUAGCUAAUAUGGAUCUGCAUAGAACUCGGCUAUUUUCUUUGGCCGGUACUGCCUUGUUUGCAAGAUAUGCUUCGUGCACAUCCUCCAAGUGCAUAUAACUAUUUCGCCGCUACUGCCUUUUACUGCAUAAUUUAACUCUAUCUCCUAGGAAUGGCUAAAUGAACGAACCAGUACCGGCGAAAUAGCUAUAUGUAUAGAUCGAACCAGUGUAACUAUGUAUAACGAAGUAUACCAGUGAAUAGAAAGAAAUAUACUAAACGUACCAAGUACAAAACAAACAUAUAAAACUAGAAAAUGACACAAAAUAAACAAACCAAAUAUAGUAAAUAUAGUUCCAGUUUCUCUUCCGGUUAUCUUCGGAAGACUAACUAAGACUAACUAAAUAUAACUUAGAGUAACACACCGAAGACAGUAACUAAGACACUAACUAAGACUAACUGAAGCCGAAGAAAAACUGAAGACAACUAACAGUAACCUGAACAGAACUAAAGACAACUACUAGUUGAACAUUCACUAGGUUAACAGAAACAAUAUAAUACACAAGACUAACUAAAACUAACAAAAACAAAAAUAAAAACAGCAUAAGACUAACAUGCAAAGUACACAACCCAAAAGGAUGUACCGUCCCAACAGAAACACCACCCCAACGCUGGUAUGAAACCAUCAACUACGGAUCUCCCAGCUCCAAGUCUUCGAUCCAGUCGAAGUUCAGAGGAUCCACUGGAUCUGGAACAUUUAACAUGCUCGAGGCGGCGGUGUAUAGGAACGCAAUGAAGAGGUAACCACAUUGUUGACACAUGAUGACGUCGUUGUGCAAAGCCGGUGGAGCCUCCAGAACGUACUCGGGAACGGGCUCAGUUUGAGAAGGUGGUGGAGGCGAAGGUGGAACCACACGACCACUAGAUGUCCGACGACUGCCAGGUUGAGCGAGCGAUAGCCCUUCAUACUCCUCCGGUGUAGUAGGGUUCAGGCGACGCCUUGUUACUCGUGGCGUUUCGUACUCGUCAUCAUCAGAGGUGAGGUCGAUGACCUCUGUCUUCCGCAGGCGAUGCUGUUGUCGAAGAACAUCGUCGUUAGUCGACACUCCACCAGUAAAAAGUCUUCUCACCAUGGCUGACGAUGAUGCAAAAACUAUCUUCCUCCGCUACUGAUCGAUGAAUAUAGGAGAGGUAGAAUGAAUGGAUACCACCACCUGAACAGUUUGGUAUUUUAUACAAACCUAUUUUCCUACUUUUAAUAUCUACUUUUUCUGCAACUUUAAUACCCUCAGGUUUAAUUUAAUUUAAAUUUUAAAAAAAUAUACUUUCUUUUGCAUGCAGUGUUACUUCCUUCACUAUCUUGCAAUUGCACCACCCACAAGUAUUUUUUAUUGAUGUUUAUAAACCUGUUGCCUAAUACUGUAGUUAAAUUCGUGGAUAUACAUAUUGUAGUUAAAUCCUGAUCAUUCGAUCAAUUUUUAGAUGACUUAUCUUGUUAUUUUACCAUUUAAUCCGUGUAACAUGGUGUACUAUUUCUUAAAAUGUGUUGACAUGUGGCCUGUUUUUUUGUCUUGUAUUGUUUUUAAUGCCAUGUCAGACAGACAAUAUCGAUCUGAAUGGUUUUAAAAACCAACAAAUCGAACUAUCUAUUCUUCUCUUUAUAUUCUGACAUGCUGUCACGGUGUGAUUGACAUUCGAUGUCCAGGUCAUGACAUACGAAUGUGACAUGCUGUCACAGCUUACCUUUUGGUUGACGUGCGAUGGACAACACAGUUUACCUUUUGCGCCGACUUGCAUUUGGAAGACUUGCUUUUGAAGUCUCUACUGGAAAGCGGGAAGACAACACAAUUUACAGUUUGAAAUCUCUACUAGAAAGCGGGAAGACUGCUUUUGAAUUUGACGUUUUGAAUUCGGAAAUAUUUCAAAUUUAUAGAUUUGAUUAUUUUAAUUUUAAUAUUAAACGACAGUAACUAAGCAACCAUUUUAAUUUAAAAUACAGAUUAGACCAUUUUAAUUUAAAAUACAUCAUUAAAUUUACCAUUAUCAAAUUAAAACAUUUUUCAAUUUAAAUUAAUAAUUUAACGUAAAACCAUUAAUAAUUUACCAAAUUAAUUAAAACUAAUUAAAUCAGAUAAGUCAUUGAUUGACUGUAUUCAAUGAGAGAAUCUCAUUAUUAUCUGUUAUUCCCUAUGUAACAAUUGUUUUUAAUGAGAGAAUCUCAUUAUUAUUUCUCUGCUUGAAAAAACCAGAGCGACGAACGAUGAACCAGAACUAAGAAAGGUACGAUAGCUGUAGAUAUCUUGUAGUAGAGAGCAAUGGAAAAAACAUAUAUCAUUGAACGGAAAAAACAUCCUGUAAAAGAGAGCGACUGUUAUACUGUGUCGAUCCCUCUAAAUAAACCCUAAUAAGUCAUUGUAAAACGUUUGAAAAAACCUUAAAUCGUUCCACACGACCAUUUUCAGUCUCCGACACCUGCUGGAAAACAUGUUCAUUUUCAUUUAGGGGUAAAAUAUUACAAGAAUAGAAAUCCGAUUUCUUAGAAAUGCCAUACCUCAUUUCCUUCAUGUGUCGCGAUUAUCAUCAGGAUUAUCGGAAGAUCUAAACCGACGAUAAUUGGAAAGAACUGUUGGACGACCGGACGAUAACCAUAACCCCUAUAACUCGACGACAGGAGCGGGACUACUGGCAAAUCUUGUGAAAGUCUCUGAAUCCUUAACCCCUCUCAUUCGCGAUUCAUAAGCCGAAGGUAUCCUAUUUAUAAGAAAAUAUAUCUUAACCCUCUUCGAAUCCCUAACCUCGUUCUGAGUAGAUGUAUGGAUUAUUUUUACCCUAAAAACCGAAUAAUAUAUUAACCGGUUAUCCUGUUAUCGAAAACCGAUUAAAAGAAUAAUCGAUUAUUGAAAAUCGGAUUAUCAAAAACCGAAUAAUAUAUUAACCGGUUAUCCUGUAGUUUAAUCGAAAACUGGAUUAUCGAAAACCUAUUCCUAUAGAAUAACUGAUUAAAGAAAAACGGAUGUCAUCUUGCUGACCCGUUAUCGGAAAAUCAAUUUUGGGUUUACAGUUGAAUACCAGUCUGAAAAUUGGGUUUACACCGGACCGAAGAUCUGAGAAAUUCCAACUGUUCGGAGUUAAUCGAAGAAUGACGUCGCAGCACACCGUCGGAAAAAAGACGUUAAGAGACAUUGUCGAUCACUCUGACAAUCAAUAUUCUGAUAUCCCUCUUAGUCCACAGCAAGAAGAGGUUAUUGAUGCGAUUGCAAGUGGGAAGUCGGUCUUCAUUACAGGUUCUGCUGGUACCAGUAAGAGUUUCAUUCUUCAACAUGCUGUCUCCACACUUCGACGUAUUCAUCCAUCAAACUCCGUUUUUGUGACUGCAUCUACCGACGUGGUUGCAUGUGCUCUGGGUGGACAAACUCUGUAUUUGUUCGCCGGCGUCGGCUUAGGGAAAGGGACAAAAUUAGACCUUGUAUCUUUUGUUUUAAAAAGUAAAAAGGCCGUUGAGCGUUGGAAGAGAACAAAAGCCCUUGUUAUAGAUGAGAUGAGCAUGAUCGAUGGACAGUUUUUUGAUAAUCUGGAGUAUAUAUCUUGCUCGAUUCGAAAUUCUAAUCACGAUGGAGAUAAGCCUGUACUUUGGGGAAGCAUACAACUGAUUGUUAGUGGUGAUUUUUUUUCAACUGCCUCCCAUAAACGCUCCCAAUCCGCGAAAUGAGUUCGCUUUUGAAUCUGCUUGUUGGGAAGCUACAUUCGAUAUCCAUAUGGAAUUAACGCAUGUUUAUCGUCAGUCUGACUCGGAGAUUAUCGAAUUCCUCGAAGGAAUCCGACAUGGACAAGUUGAUCGUGAGAAUAAAAAUUUCAAUAGAUUCCUACAUGGGAUCGCAUCAAUUAACAGGGAUAGUGACAAAAAUGAUAAUGAAACCCGUCUAUUUCCAAGAACAGAUGACGUUAGAAGAGUUAAUCAGGAGCGUCUUAUAAGUUUAGAAAAGGAUAUGGUGAAGUUCAAUGUUGUGGACCAAAGUUCUAUGCCUUGGUUAAAACAAUUAAAAUAUCAGAUCGCCCCAGAUGAACUGGAAAUUUGCGAGGGUGCUAGAGUAAUGCUUAUCAAAAACACCCAUCAAGCAAUCGGACUUGUGAACGGCGCAACUGGAAUAGUUACUCGAUUUAAAGUAGGUUCGGUAUUGUCAUCUGAAAACAAUCCGAACGGUGUUGUUCCUACAGUUAGGUUCGACUCUGGACUAAAAGUUUCAUUGGAAGUUGAAAAAUGGGACAUUAUGGAAGGCAGUGAAGUUAAAACUGUUCGUCGGCAAAUUCCACUGAUACUAGCUUGAGUACUUAGUGUUCACAAAUGUCAAGGGAUGGCCCUAGAUCGUCUUACUACCGACCUGACCCAAGCAUUUGGAUCUGGAAUGGUAUACGUAGCUCUGUCUCGAGUGACCACAAUUCAAGGUCUCCGUGUGUCUGGCUUUAGUCCAGAGAAAAUCAAAGCGCAUCUGAAGGUUUUAAGUUUCUACACAAGGCUUUUAUUAAGAUCGUCUGACUAAUUAUUUUAUUUCUUCACCAGGCUUUAAUCUAGGUCUUUCAAUCAAAACCUAAUAGAUCAUGAUUAGGUUUAGUUUUAGGCUACGUUCUUUCCUCUACUUAUUCAUUGUAUGUUACUGAUCGAAUUACUCUUUGAUUGUAUGUUUUUUAUUCAGAAUCCUGGUCAGUAUUUAUCCAGAUUUUAUUAUGUAUUAACCGAACUUGAUAUCAUUCACCGAUUCAUCACAAUACAUUAAUAUGUAUUGACCCAACCAAAUUGUAUCAUACGUCUUAUCCUAUUUCAUGCAAUAUUAAAAGUCCUCUAUCUCACCAUUGCAAAUAACAAAAUCCCACACAUAAAUCCCAUAGUAAUGCUUGAACCAGUCGUUCGAAAUUGCAGCAGAUACUCACAUUACCAACGACUCCUCUUUACUACCCACAUUCGCCGACGCAAUCUCCAACUUUACACCGAAGAACAGAAGAAUAAUUCUCAAUAUUCCGACAGGCGACUCCCCCAAUAUCUUCACAAAAGAAUUCCCGGAGGUCAAUCCGAGAAUUUACUUGGCAGUCCCCUAAAUCAGGAUGGAACCACCACUCCUUCUAACAAAAUUCUACUGUCACGCAAGUCCACCUGCACCGUGACAAACUGGCAUUGCUCCGAACCAGCAACCUACCAGAUUCAUCAACCCUGCAUUCGUCGAAACCGCCAUCGCUGACAUCUGCCUUUCUAGGAACAGAUCGGACGAAAGCUUGCGCGGACGAACCCAACUAAAUUGUAUCACACGUCUGAUCCCAUUUCCUGCAAUGUUAAAAGUAUCACACGUCUGAUCCCAAAUUGUAUCUCACCAUUGCAAAUAACAAAAUCUCACACAUAAAUGCAAUAGUAAUGCUUGAACCAGUCAACGAAAUUGCAACCGAUACUACCAUUACGAACUACUCCUCUUUACUACCCUUAUCCGCCGAUGCAAUCUCCAACUCUACACCGAAGAACAGAAGAAGAAUUCCCAAUAGUCCGACAGGAAACUCCCAAUAUCUUCACCAAAGAAUGACUGGACGUCAAUCCUAGAAUUGACUUCCCAGUCCCCAAGAUCAGGACGGAACCACCACUCCUUCCACCAAAAAUGUGCUCUCACGCGAGUCCGCCUGCUCCGUGACAAACUGGCAUUGUUUUGAACCAGCAACCUACCAUAUUCAUCAACCUGACGCUCGUCGAAAUGACCAUCGCUUGCAAACGGAUCGGAACAGAUCGGAUGAAAGCUUACAAAUGGCGAUAGCGGAAAUGAGAAUUCAAAGGGGGAUUUGUGCAAUUGCGGCACGGAUGAACCCGACUUUCCCAUGAUUCCAGCUUAUAUUCAUGAUAUUGAUCUUCGAUGGGUCGAAUGCGAGAUCCUUCGAUAAAAUAGAAGAUCGUUCCCAAUAGAAAUACUAUCAGCGCCCCCCAAUAGAAAUAAAAUAUGAAAAAAUCGCAGAAAAAAAUGAAAUGAAAGAUCAACGGAAAUCGCAAAAAAAAACAAGCUGAUUAAAAAUUGAAGAACCCAACACGGUAGCCAAAAGAAAGGGAUAGAAAGUUAAAAAAUGGAAAACGAUGGAAGAAGAAGAAAAACAUACCAGGACGACGACAAGUAGGCGAAAGCAACGACAAAAUGCAAAUCGUAGAAGACAAAAUAUGUAAAAGCAAACUGGAGAUCAACAAUCGGAAAAUACAAGAAAAACAGAUCAGGACGACGACGGAUAGGCGACAUCAACGACAAAAUUCCAACCUUAGAUGAAAAAUAUUAAAGAGCAAACCGGAAAACGACAAUCGGAAAAUGCAAACCGGAGAACGAAGACGAACGUAGCAACGAAUAGGCGACAUCACAACGACGAAUUUCCAACCGUAGAAUGCAAAAAACAACGAAGAACGGAGAACGAAGAAUCCAGUCACAGACGAACGGAGAACGAAGAUACGAAAUAAAUAUGUUAGACUAACUAACUAAUAUAGUUAGUUGUUAGUAGAAGGUUAAAUAAACUAAACAAUAAUGAUGUAUUAUAAAUAAUACUCCAAGUAAAUGAUAAACCAUCACUUGAUCAUUGCAUCAACUCACUGGUGUUAUUCCACCUCCGAUCAUCGUCGUGUUUUACUAAUAUGGUAUCAUCAACUAGCAACGCCGAUGGCAAUGUAGAUCUUGUUUCCGCUGCAAACACUGGAUUGGGGGAGGCACCGCAAGUUUUGGCUCCGACGCAAUCGUCGGGGAAGGUUGUCAUGAUCAAACAAUUGAAGUGCGUCACCUUAGAAGACGAUAACUACUUCAAUUGGCAAGCUCAAUUCUCGGCUCUUCUCCGAGGAUACAGGCUCUUGGAUUACGUGGAGGGAAGAAUCAAGAUAGUCGACGGUUCUUCCGAUGAGCAGCAAGACCAAAUCAUUCUAAGUUGGAUGCUUUCGGCGAUCUCUCCGGCGAUCUUACCGCAAGUAGCCGCGCUCACCACAUCGCACGAAGUAUGGGAGUGCCUGUGACAAAUUCACUCAUCCGAUUCUGAGACUCGACUUCUACAUUUGCGAACGCAGCUACAAUCCGUGAAAAAGGGGACAAUGCAUGUCUAUGGCGCAAUACAUCAAAUACAUUUGCAUCGCCAAAGACAAACUCAUAUUAAUCGCUGGAGAAAAGACGCAAGAUUCACAGCUCAUAUUAAUCGCAUUGGGAGGUCUUGGACCCGAGUACAAGCUGUUCUCAACAUCAAUUACUACUCGUUUUGAUCAUUCAAUGUCAUUCUCGUAAUUCCAGCAACUCCUCAUGGACCAUGAUCUGCGUGAAGAAGAACCAAAUAAAUUUGAGGUAAACGUCGUGAACAAAGAAAAGAAAUCGUUUGAAAGAGAGACAAGUGGAAAGUUAUUACCUUGCCAGAUAUGCUCCCGGAAAGGGCACAAUGCAUUAAACUGCUACAAUAGGGUCAACGUUGUGAAGUUUCCACCAAAUCAUAGCAGAAAAUUAACACCAAACGGAGUAUUUAAUACAAGCUUGCCAUCCGCUAAUGCAGUAACAAUGUGGUGCCCUGCUUCGGGGGAAACCACACACAUUACUUCAAAUGGUAAAAUUCUAAAUUUCACAGAUAAAUAUAAGGGUUCAGAAAAAGUUACAACUGGCAAUGGUGAAUCGAUGUUAAUAACGAAUUCGGGUAAAAGCAGAUUUUCUUGCCAAGGCAAAGAAUUCAUGUUGGACGAUAUACUCGUAGUUCCUGAAACUUCUAAAAAUCUAUUAUCUGUACAUAAAUUAUGUGUAGAUAAUCUUGUAUCUGUUGAAUUUGACUCUCAGAAAGUGAAGAUUCGAGAUCUCGCAACUAAAGAGGUCAUAGCAGAAGGAAGAGAAGAUGGAGGUUUGUACCAAAUUCCGAUGGGAACGAUCAAAAAUCAAGAAGUGUUGUCUAGUGAAAAGGUGUCGGGAGACCGAUGGCAUGCACGACUAGGCCAUCUUAAUGAGCAAGCAGUUAAAUAGUUAAUAAAUAAUUUUGUAAUUCAAUCAAAUUGUAAAACAAUAACAGAAUGUGAUCCGUGUUUGAGAAAUAAAUCAAGAUCUCUACCACACAAAUUAAGUGAAAAUGUAUAUGCAGCUCCACUCGAUCUCAUUUACACCGAUAUCUAGGGACCGGCCCCGAUAACAUCAUCGGAAGGGUUCAAGUAUUAUAUUAAUUUUGUAGAUGCAGCCACUAAUUACAAUUGGGUUUUUCCAAUGGCAAGCAAGGCAGAAGUUGGGCAAAUUUUUGAACAGUUUAGGUUAUGGGCUGAAAAGCAAUGUGAAACAAAGAUUAAGGAAUUACAAUCAGAUAACGGAUUGGAAUUCAAGAAAUUAUCCAAGUAUCUAGAGAAACUGGGAAUAGUGCAUCGAUUUUCUGCACCCUACAGUCAUCAAUAGAUGGGGUCUGUAGAAAGACGCCACCGGCAUCUAGUUGACACGGCAUUAACUCUAAUGAAGCACACCGAUCUACCCGUCGUUUACUGGGAUUUUACGGUGCUAACGGAAACACAUUUAUAUAACCGUAAUCCUUCCAAAAUACUAAACAAUUCAUCACCGUUUGAAGUCCUGUUUCAAAGAAAUCCAUAAUACAAUAAACUUUGAGUGUUUGGAUCGAAAUAUUAUCCUUGCUUACGAAACUAUCGAGAGAACAAAUUGUCAGAAAAAUCAAUCUCGUGUGUGUUCUUGGGAUAUUCUCAAGGUCAGGAUGCCUAUAUCUGCUACGAUCCCGUCGGUCAGAGAAAAUACAUCUCCAGAGACGUGCGAUUUAUUGAAGAAGAUUUUUCUUUAAAUAAACUACUUUCCAAGGAAGAAGGUGCAAAUAUAUCAAAUUCAUCUAAAGAAAGAAGGAAAGUGAACUGCCCUAUCAUCCGAUGGGUUAACAAAGAGGGAUCGGAUUGUCCAAGUAAUGAUCCAGUUAAUGAAGUAAUCGGUCCGGCCAACAAUCUAGUUGAAGAUCGGGUUCCCCAAAUAGUCACCGAUAACGACCCGGUACAAAAUCAACUUGAACAAACGGUUCUCCUAAAUAGUAGACAGGACUCAACGGACGAGGUAACAUUUACCGAAAGCUUCAUGGACUCACACGAUCCGAUACAAGAAAACUAUUACUCGUCGGAGAAGAACGCUUCUGAAAAACAAACAGAGGUGGCUACCCAACGGCCGGCAACAAGAGGUUCGAAGGGAAUAGUUAAACCAAAUCCACGUUAUGCAUUAUCGAUCCAAGCCAACCAAUAGUUCGUCCCACGUUCACCGAAUAUGGCAAUGCUAGACGAAAACUGGAGAACGGCAAUGCAAUCGGAGUUCGAUGCAUUAAAAAGAAACCAAACAUGGGAAUUGAUAGAUCGUUCGGAAAAAGAUAAUGUGAUAAAUACGAAAUGGACAUUCAAAGUGAAGCAACGACAGGAUGGAUCAAUCGAGCGGUAUAAAGCAAGGUGGGUUGCGAAUGGGAUGAAACAAGUCGAAGGGAUGGACUACACAUACACUUUCAGCCCAGUCGUAAAGGCAAUUUAAUUCGGUGCGUUUGGUGCUCACACUCGUGAUUUCCAGAAAUUGGAACCUGACCCAACUCGACGUAUCAAACGCAUUCCUUCAUGGAGAAAUUGACGAAAGGAUAGUGGUUACCCAACCAGCCGGUUCUUGUAGUGCCAAUCGUGUAUGCCUUCUCAAGAAAGCCUUGUACGACUUGAAGCAGUCACCACGAAUGUGGUACCAGAGGCUACGAGAUUUUUUGAUCACAAUGAGUUUCAAAGAAAGCUACGCAGACCCAUCCCUGUUUCUAAGUUUUCAAGAAAAUGAGAUGAUCUUUUUGUUUGCAUAUGUAGACGAUAUUGUCGUCACUGGGUUAUCGGAAAAAUUGGUGGAAGAGAUAGUAGACAAGUUGGGGAAGGAGUUCGCCUUACGAAAAUUGGGCGAACUCACAUAUUUUCUUGGCAUUCAUGUACGAAGAAGUAAAUAAGCAUUAUGUUUGUCGCAACAACAAUAUCUCGUUAGCCUUUUAGCCAUCUGCGACACCGAUGCUCGCGCAGCAAGACCUCUUCUCGAAAGAAUCUCCAAUUACAGAACAAACAGAGUAUCGAAGAAUAAUCGGUUCAAUGCAAUACCUCACACUCACACGCCCAGAUAUUCAAUUCGCAGUGAACAAAUUGGCACAGUUCAUGUCAUUUCCUAAACCGGUGCACUGGGCGACAAUGAAGAAGGUUCUUCGUUACUUAUUAGGAACCCAAACAAUGGGAUUCACUUUGUCAAAGGUAAUAGACUUCACUUUGACAGGUUACUGCGACGCAGACUGGGAGGUGACACAAUAGACAGGAAAAGUCAGACGGGUAUCCUAAUAUACUUGGGCGAGACUUUGGUAAGUAAUUGGUUCUCGAGAAAACAAACCACGGUGGCGAGAUCGAGCACGGAGGCAAAGUACAGAGCGAUUGCGAGCACGGUAGAGGAAUUGGAGGCAACUAAAUCGCUACUAACGGAACUGGGAGUAGAAGUAUCGUUUCCAAUGAGAUUGCUGAGCGACAAUCAAGGGGCAACAUUCGUAGCCAAUAAUCCAAUAUGCCACACUAAACUCCGGUACGUCGCAAUGGACCUACAUUUCGUCCGAGAAGGGUGAAGUCAAGGUGGAACAUAUUUCAGGAAAGAAACAAAGAGCGGACAUUCUCACCAAAGCUGUGAAGCCAAUCACUUUUCGUGAACUCUGGCUCAAACUCGUCGGAGAACCUCCGCCGGUUUGAGGCGGGGGGGUGUUAGACUAACUAACUAAUAUAGUUAGUUGUUAGUAGAAGAUUAAAUAAACUAAAUAAUAAUGAUGUAUUAUAAAUAACACUCCAAGUAAAUGAUAAAUCAUCACUUGAUCAUUCUCACCGGUGUUAUUCCACCUCCGAUUAUCGUCGUGUUUUACUAAUAAAAUAUACGGAGAACGGAAAAUUGGAAAAUAAAUACUGACACUAAUACACUACAUCUACUACUGACACUACAUCUGAUCACCUACGACCUACGAAAAUACCUAUGAAAUUACUAAACUAAUAACGAAAUUAAACUAAAUUCGAAAAUUUCAAAACAGUUCGUCAAUCUGUGAUCCAACGGACCAGGAUCAAUGUGCACACCUAAUCCGUUGUGUUUAAAAUAUAUCUAUAAAAAAUUAUAUUUAACCCCCUACAUUUUAAAUUUUUUUAAAAAAAAUUAGUUUUUAAAUUUAAACCCCAAAUAUGAAAUGUAAAUUAAUCAACCUACGCUAUAUAAAAUUUAUAAACUGCUUUUUCAAAAGCGGUCGUUAAUUACUAAAGUUAGGGAUGGUUUUUGGAAAGGUCGUCCUUAAUUAUUUCAUAAAAAUAUAUGUAAAAUAUAAUCAAUAAGUUAUGAACGUUUUUUCAAAAAAACGUCGUUAAUUCUUAAGGUCGACAACGGUUUAUGAGAAAACCGUUGUAACCCAAUAAAAAAACAGAAUUAGAGAAAGCAUGCAUUUACAAGCGAUCAACAGAUUUUUCACAAUUUUUUUUUUAAAAUUUAGGGACAGUCAAAAUCCGUUUUCUUAUAGUGUCUUCGAUUGAAUCUAGGGAUUUGCAAUAUCACAACUGCUUAUCUUCAAUCUCAACCGCCUCUACCAUCGAUCACCACCCUACCGAUGACUUCAUUCGUGACCAAUUGAGCAUGAAGAAUGACACUCAAUUGAAGAGCACGACCGGUCAAAUAGUGGAAAAAGCAGGAGCAAAUGAAAACACAUCUUGGGAUUAUCUAAUCGAUCAAGGUGACCUUCAAUUCCUAUGAUGAAAUCAACUAAUAGGCCAUCGAUUUAAGGUUGGAAUCCAAAAUACUGUGCAAUAUUCAUGAUGCAAAAGGAAAGUUAAAGGUAUCUAUGGCUUUAACAUGGUGUAUUGGUGUAAAGAUGAAACAUUUAAUUGGAUCUGAAUUUAAUCCUGAACGUCAGAUGUACAUUUAUGUGUAAGUCUCUCUUGAUUAAUUGCUUCAACUACCAAAGUCAGAUAGAUGCCUUAGAGUUGAUCGGAGUUACGUAUAGUGAGGGGCCCAACUGAUUGUAUCAAAUGAUUGGAAAAGACACAUAUGACGUAUUUAAUUUAUAAGGGGCCGGCCGGACUGCCGGAGGGGAUCGAUGAUCGAUUCCGACAACACCAUAACGUCUACCGGUCAAAUCGAUGUUCUUAAUUAGAUAAACAUGCAGCAAGCAACCCACAGCAGAGCUUCAUAAGCAAUAAGCAUUAAGAAUCAUGAUAGCUAGCUACUAGGUUCCGUGAUCUUAUCUGGCUUCUUCUGAACUCUGAUUGAUUGAGGGAAUAGGGAUGCAUGCAUCCAUGAUCCAUGCAUGCUAUAGGUAGCUUCUCUAUAUCUAGUCUAGGUAUGGGGAAGGUAGAUAGAUGGCAGAAUCAAGUAUGGCAGAACUUAACCCAAAAACGGUACUUAGCUGUUGUAGUUUUUAGAACAUUGCGCUCAGAAACGUCCGUCCGUCCGUCCGGCCAUCAUCUGCAUGUGGUACGUCCGGCCAGCAGAUAUCCCAUACCCAAAUUAAAUUCUAUUAAUUAAUUAUAUUCCACUCCCUCUCUUUUCCAAUAAUUACCCAUUGCAAGCAAGCCAAGUAGUAGUGUAUAUUACCAGCCGCAUCUCUAGCUCUAUCCUCAUCUUGUUUUCAGUUUUCGCAGAACAAGAUAGCUAGCAAGAGUGAUGACGAAAGAGAGAAAUCCCAAUCCCAUCCGUCUGUUUGGCAUCGAGUUCGGUCCUGGAGCUAGCGACACCAUUGGAGAAGAGAGUAGUAAUAGGAAGUUCGAGUGUCAUUAUUGUUGCCGUGAUUUUCCGACAUCGCAAGCGCUUGGAGGUCAUCAGAAUGCUCACAAGAGGGAAAGACAGCAAGCGAAGAGAGCUCACCUCCAAUCCGCCAUUGCUGCUCAUUACAUCCGUCAUUCUUCUGUUCCGGAUGCCCACAUCGUCUAUGGCAGUUUUAAUUCCAACACCCAACUCCCCCUCCCCCCCAUCCACGGAAACACCGCUACUUAUAAUUAUUCCUCCCCGCCAUUCUACGUCGCCAACGAGCACCUACCAGGCCACGGUGCUGCUUCAUAUGUGGGUGAAGGUUGGGGAAACGUGGACGGAGGAGGGUUCUAUGGUCAUGGAAGCUUGAAGAGGCACGUCGUAAGUGGAUCGGCUUCUGUCGGAGUUCAUCAUCAGGACCAAAUUAGUUUGGAUUUGUGCUUGUAAUUAUUUUCGUACGCUUCAACGUUUAAGCUACUUUAAUUAAUUUAUUCACUGAUUAAUUAAAUUCCUCCUAUAUAGUUUCUUCUGGCUUCUUGUUUGUAUAUAUAUUAAUUCUCCGAUGGAAACUCAAUAAUAACCCAUCAAGAACAUGUCGACGGCCGGAAACAUGAAGAAGAACAUGUCGACGGCUGGAAACAUGUAGAAGAACAUGAAUAAUAUUAGAGAUCAAACCAAACCAUAACGAUAUAACUAACGAUCGAACAGAACUGCAACUUCUCACGAGACUCCACUGCAUGGAUCUUGAAGUCUGUAGUUUUGGGUUACGUACGGUCGGACAUUAUGUUAAUUAGUUUGGUUUCAUGACAAUGACUGGAAGAGAUGUGUGUCGACAUGGGCGUCGAUGCAUCAUGUGACGGUGGUGGUCAUGUGUUUAAUUAACGUCGACAGUCUGAAUGUCUGGUGUGAGUUUACAUGUUACUCCAUUGUCAGGUUGCCUCCAUUUUCCAACCCCAGUGACCAGCACUGCGUAGUCUGCAUGUUACACUGCAUAGUUUCAACUUUAGCUAUUAAUUAGGUACUUUAAUUUGUCUGUUAAUCAAGGACAUUCGAUAUUAAUUUAUUAGAAAUCGUGAGAUAUCUCAAUAUACAUAUACUUUCAAUUAAAUUUAAUUCUUUUAAUUUUUCAUCUCAUGAAAGCUAGAAACUUUAUAAGGAGAUUAUAAAAACGCUCAUAAAACUUGGAAAUUAGUAAAAUAAGGAGAUUAUUUUUUUCUAGAUGAAAUGAAUGGACAGGAAUUCAUCUGAAAAUUGUUUCUUUUAACAAUUAUCAGUUUAUUUUUAUUUUUAUUGGGCUGAUUAUUAUAAAGCCCAAUAAUGAGUCAGUCUUAUAAAUUGACAAUGCAAGUUAUUCACAUCUAGUACGACUUUCUAUCCUUUUCAAUUCUUUUCAAUUCGUUGUAAAGGCCUCGGCCCAAAGUGUAUAUAUAACUUUGUAAAUUGUAAUUUCCAUCGUUGACUCGUUUUUAAUUUUUCUUUGACUCUCACGAUUUCUCUCUCGUCAAAGUCUUGCCGGAAUCGCUCAAUUGCCGUCACCAUCUUCGCAGUGACGACGCCGGUCGACUAGAAUCGAAUUCGUUUACACGACUUCUUUUUUAUUACGGCCUUGGCAAUUUUAAGUUUAUCCAUGAAGUCUCCAUGCCAACUUUUGUUUGUUUACGUACAUAUGUUAUGUUGAUCAGCUGAUCAAUUUUCAAUAAUUUUAUUUUUUUAUUUUUUAUUUUUAAAUCGAUGGUGAUUCAAAGUACUAAAAUGACCAAGAUGGACUUUAACCAUUUUCGAAUUUUCUGCUCAAGUAUAAAUAAACGGUAGAUUUCUAAAAAAACUCAAAUAGAGAGAUGAUCGAGAAUCAAAAUCUACCCUAAUUAAUUAAUACAAAUCACAUCUAGUAAAUCUUGACGAAACGUCUAACUAAUUACUUGUAGAUCAGCAUAAUUAAUUAAAUGUUAUAUAUUUAUAAUUGAGCUAACAAUGUAGUAAUCAACAAGAUCAAUAAUAUUAUUAAUCAUAUAUACCUUAUUACAAUUUAUAACACUCAUAAUUAAUUGUAACGCAUAACUAUAAUCAACACUGUACGUAUUUAUCAGCAUAAUUAACAAUACUAAUCAUCCAUGAAUAUAUAAAUUUUAUUUUAUUUUAAUUCUUAUAAGUAUCACUUUCAUUCAUUAAUUGUUGUUGCCUGGCUUAUUGUCUGUUAAUUAGUGACGAUGAUAAAUAAUUAUAACUAGGUAUGUAAAUAAUAUUCUAAUGAAUUGAUUAAUUUGAUUUAAAUAGAUUUACAGAAUAAAAUAAAGUCCAUCAUUGUAAAAUUUACAUAUCUUGGAGUUGAAUAUAUGUAAGAUAAUAUAAAUUAAUAAACAUUACCAUCAUCCCAAUUGCAUUUUGUCAAUUUGACUUAAUCUUUAUUUCAUAAUUACAAGAAAUGCAUGAUGUAACGAAAUGAAAUUUUAUAAAUUUAUAUAUUUUUGGUGGUUAGGUAAUUAUAAGGUGGGGUAGGUAAAUAUAUCCAUCGAUUGAUCUUGUUUAAUUAUAGUCAAUGAGAAAUUUAUAUAUUACAUUUUAUAAUUACGUAAUUAAAAUCAUUUUUAUACUCAUUUUUUGCAUUACUUAUUUUUUACGUUUACGUGAUUUUUUUUCUGAAAAACAAUACAAAAACAAAUUUAUAUAUAAAAAAGAUCAAAUGUAAGGUAUAAGUUAUAACUUUUCAUCUAUUCGAUCAUCUAUCGUUUUUUUGUAAGGUGAAUUAACUAAUUUCACCAAACUAAUAUUGUUUUAUACCUAUCACGAGACCUAACUCAAACUGAUGCAACUAAUUAAUUAAACUAAAAGUUGCAGAAAUUAAUUAAUCUUUUGUUGGUAUGAAAAUAUACGUCGACAGAUGUUGAAAGAAAUGAAAAAUAGCAGUGUACUUACCGAUGACUAUGUAUAUGAUCGAUAGAUCGAUCACUCUUUUUUUCUCUCCAUAUCUGUUGCCGUUUGUUCGGUACCCACAUGAAAAGAGAGCUCAUCAUCGAUCUCCAUAUAUAUUAAUUCUAGAUAACAUUCCGGCACUGCUUUAAAUAUUCUCUCCUAUCCAAUCCCGGCUGAAUCGAUGUGUACCAGAGGCCACUGGAGACCGUCGGAAGACGAGAAGCUUAAAGAGUUGGUGAACAAGCAUGGCCCUCAUAAUUGGAAUGGAAUUGCCCGAAAUCUUCAUGGUCGAUCUGGUGGGUACUGUAACGUCGUACAUGUUUAUAUAUGUACGUUGGAUUUGAUUAAAUAAUCUUAUCAAUUGACCAGGAAAGAGUUGCAGACUGAGAUGGUUCAAUCAACUGGAUCCAAGGAUCAACAGGAGUCCGUUCACGGAGGAGGAGGAAGAAAGACUUAUCGAGUCUCACAGAAUCCACGGUAAUCGAUGGUCGGUAAUAGCAAGGCUUUUCAAAGGAAGAACAGAUAACGCGGUGAAGAACCACUGGCAUGUGAUCGAAGCUAGAAGAUCUAGAGAGAGGACAAGAUUUCUCUGUAAGAUGAGAAAAACUGUCGAUCAUCAUCGGCCGAUGUCAGAGAAAAUCCUCAACUGCCCCAAACAACCGUCGACCACUGCUCAAUUUUUCUUCACUCAUCCACACCAUCACCAUCGUCGUCAUCCGUUCUACUUUGGGAUAAAGACUCCCGAGAGCGAUGAAAAUAGCAGUGCAGAUCGAAAUUCCAUCAGGUUUCAUGAUUUUCUUCGACUAAACAAUGAAGAUGAAGAAGGAGGGAGGGAGAGUGAGGGGAAGUGGAUCGGAAAGAAAGUAGAUACCAUGGAGGAAAGUGACAAAGCAGCCGGAACGAGUCGUGAUUUCAUAGACUUCAUGGCUGAAUCGAAUGGUUGAUAUUUAGAUAUAAUUAAUCGAAUGCUAACAAUUUGGAUCGAUCAUACAGAAAUUUAAGAUAUAUGAACAUAUAUAAUGUCUACUAAUUAAUUAUAUUGUUUAUGAAUUAUAUAUGAUCGAGUUACACACAUUUAUAAUGACACCAUAAACAUAGGAAAAUUAAUUCAACUUAUUAUACUUAUUUCGAAGAUUUAGGGUUCAAGAAUCGAUUUUUAUUACGAUAUAAAAAUCACUCGCCCAAUUUAUUGAUCCUUAUAGAAGAAAAAGAGAGUAGAUUAAUAGAGUUGAGAGAUUUAGUUAUAAUUAUCCCAUUAAUAGAAAGUGUGAUUAUAAUAUAAAUAGGUUAAUCUUAUAAUUAACAAUAUCGUUCUCAAUACAUGUUUUUUCAAUUUCAAAUUAGGUCAAGUGUUCUUGACGAAUAUUGUUGCACGAUCGAUGACUGCCCUAGUUUACGUUUCUGCUGAUCGAUCACCAGUUACGUCUGUCAUCGUGGUAUCAAAGCACAGUUCAUCGUCAGUAUCUGGCCAUGCGUACAGUUAACUGGUCCACUAGAAUUCCCUUACCCGACAAACCGAAACAUACAUUUCAAUUAAUUCGUCUGUCCAAUGACAAUUUCUUACAUUGGUGAUGGUAGGACAAGACCUAAUUGAGUUUGUGGAUGACUCAUGACGUGUAGUCGGAGUAAAAGAAGAAGAUAAAUAAGAUAAUAUCAAGCAAUCGCAUAUUAGGGUUUGGGAAUGGGGAUUUCCCGAUUUUAUAUUAUCAAUAAAAAACAAAGUAAACAGUAAUUACAAAACGUUAACCUAAAUUGAUAUGUUAAGCAACUAUUUAUACUAAUCUAUUUUAAGAAAUGAUGAUAAGUGGAUUGAGUUGGUCCAUUUGUCAUUAAGCCAUUUAUGAAAUAAACAACGAGAUCAAUAGUGCAAGCCCUAACUGAACAACUUCUGAUCAUCACAUGAUUUAUUUUAAUCGGAAAGAUGUCCCAUAAGACAUCUCCCUCUUACAGAAGUAGGUUGCACUGGAAGUUUUCGUGAUGAUGUGAUUUUAGGGUUCACAUAUUCACCACCUUCAGCGCCAAUGUUGACAUAAACACCUGAACUCCUAUCCAUACAUGAGCUUCUUUGCAAUAUCGAGUUGUUGAUGCUUAGUGUGUUGCUGUUUACAAUGUUCCGACCGCUUGGAUUUCGUUCACUCUUAUUCCAUCCAUUUGUACAAUUUGCUUGAUGAUUGCGAAGGAAGCCAUUAUCAGCGACCAUUGAUGCUCCUUUGUUCGUACCAACCAAAGUCACGACACACAUGGGUAGACGUUUAGUACCAAUAUUUUCCAAAUUUGGAUCAAAUUUGCAUCUGGUUGAUUUUAAGUUAGGGAUAACUUCUUCCUUGCCUGGUAAUAUCUUCUCAUUUGUUGUAAUUUCAGCCAAUAUUGGGUUUGAAUGUUCAAUGAAAUCAAUUGCGAUUUCCGAUCCCAUUGAAAUAUCCUCAUCAUUGGAAUUUGUUGGUGGUGAUGUUGACGUAGAAUACAACAAUUUCUUCAACAUAUUCACAUGACGUGGUUGUGACUGCAACUUGGAGCAAUCGAUUUGGUUACUUGAUUUUUUUUUUUUAUACAUAGGUAGGCACAAGGCUAACCUCUUCUUCGAAAGCUUCUUCUCUUCUUCCUCCAUCCUCAUUCAAUUUUUUGCUGCCUCCAAACAAUAAUGGAAGACAAAGAUAAGUAAAAUUCAUAUAGUGGGUAAAUAUACUAAUAAAAAACUUUUCUUUAAGUCUAAGAAAACAUAUUCCAAACAAAAUUUCAUUGGUUUUCAAUAACUUAAAAUAAAAGUAAAGUAUCCUGAAUUCAAUUCAUUUGUAAAUAAGUAUUCUAUAAAGCAAAGAAUUACUUCGAUACCAUGUGAAAAAUGAGUCUCUUAGAGACCAAGAAAAGCAUCAUGCAUGUACAAUCAACCUGUAAUAUCAUGUAUACAUAGUAAAAUCAACUUGUGUUCUGAUACCAGAUGAAAAUGUUUGGGAGAAAGACUCAUAUAUUGAAGUCGGGCGGUACAGUAUUGUCAUUGAAAUACUCCCUUGUGACAGUUUCGGCAUCACAAAACCUCACCUUAAAAGAUAAAACACAAAUCAAUUAUAUAUUAAGAUUGCAUUCACUACAAUCAAGUGUUUAGAAUAAGAAUAGUAGAGGCGUGAAGUAUAUCUAUAACAUACCAGAGACGCAUAUGAUUUCAACAAUGGCUUAACGACAUGCCAAAUUGGUUGAAACACGAAUGGUGCACCGACAAAGAGUACCUGUCCAAUGCGUUUUGGAUAGUAAUAGUAGAAAACAUCAAUCUACACAAGGUGAAGAAAAUAUAUUAGAUUACUACGAACAAACCGUGACCACAAUAAAAGGCAAUGGCAUAUUGGGGUCCAUCCACUUACCAAAAACUUUAGAAAUGAGAUAUCUCCAUUCUCUAUUGUGAACCCUCUUAGAUCAAAUAUCCCCAGUAUAUCUUCCUUACCUAGAGGAAGUUUCCCAAGUGCCUCUUCGAUCAAAAAUACACACAACUUCUCGUUCUCCCUAGAAUCCUGCGUCUGCGACCAAAUGAUAUCGGCAUUUCAUUUCAUUAACUACGUACUCCAGGAAGAACUAACUGGACACAGUUCGAAAAAUCGAAUGUGAAAUGUCACUGAAUCCCACCAAUGCAAAAACACAAAUGUAAUUUAAUAAUUAAGCAACACAAGACAUUUGUCAUGUACUCAUGUUGAUUGUUGAUCAACCAUGAUGUGAUGAUACACUAAUACCAUAUAAAAAAAACCCAGUAACUGAGUUGAAAGAUAGCUAAAACAUAUUCAAAAUCAAACGAAGGAAAAAAUAUAUCAAUAUCAAAUGAAGGAAAACUAGCUUACAGCAGGAAAAUGUUUGGAAGCCACCACAACAAGUACUGGUCUUCCAUUGACAUCAGUGUGUUCGUGUACAUAAGCUUUACCAGUCUGAUAUAAACCACUCACAGAUUCUUUAGUCAACUCUGAUACCCCAAAUUCUUUACGCCAUUUCUGGAAGAAGAAAAAUUGAAAAACUUUGAAACAAUUCGCGGAUUGAAUGUAUAUCAUUGGAUUGGAUUUCGAUAGGAUACAAUCAUACGAUGGAUUUUCUUAAUUUGGUAAGAGCGUCAUCGACGGAAUACUUUCUAUCUUUCAAGAACCAACUGAUCAUUUCCUCGUCGUCUCGACCUUUCAGUCCGAGUGGAAGCUCGGGGUUCUCUUUCUCCAAUCUCGCUUUCACCUCCGCAACUAACUGGAAUCCAAUCAGAUAAUCCCGCAAAUAUUGGGGGUUUAUUAUCAUAGCAAAUCAGUGUCAGUGGUCAAUACUUACCUUGCUAUAGUUCACGUAGGGACUACCAUUGGAACUGGAAGAGCAUUUAAGACGGAGAAACUUUGUGGAUUUUUCGAGUGUGAAGACUUGGGAUGUAGAGAUGAGAGAGAUUCCGACGAGAUUCACGUGCUGCAGGAACAUUUUCGACUCGCUGUUUUUCCAUCAAGAGUUAGUUCGGGACCGAAAAAAAGAAUAAAAAUAAAUAUUUUUUUAUUUACUGAAAUAAUUAUUUUUAGAUACAGUAUUUUAGUUAGACUCUUGAUUUCAUCAUUCAAAGUCUGUUUUACAGAUUUAGACACCAGAUUGAAUUUUUUUUCUUCUAAUUCUCUUUUUUUUGUACAGAUUUUAUUCAAACGGAUAUUCCCCCGAGCCUAAAUUUAGGGUUGGUUUGGGUCCAAGAUAUUCCUUAAGGUCUCGGACCCACCCUGCACUCACCCGUAAAUGAGAUAGAUAAAAUCAAGAAGAUAUGAAAUCAGAAAAACAAGGAAUGUAAUGAGAUAGAUAAAUGAAACGAGAUAGAAGAAAAUGUAGGAAGGGGAAAAAUAACACAAAUACCAAACGACGAAGACGGACGAUAGAGGAUAGAAAUAAAUAAACACUAUCAUCAAAAAAUAGAAUGGAAGAAAUAGAACCAAAAAAUAUAGAAACCGAUAGUAAAAUAUUAGGAAGAAAAAAAAUGAAAUCGACAAUAAAAAAAAACCCAAAGAUCAAAAUUUAAACCCAAGCCCAAAAGCCCUAAAAUAUUCAACAUCUAAACCCAAAGAUUCAACAUUGAAAAUACCAACCCUUAAAAGAAUGAAACUUACUGGAAUCGAUGAUCAGAUGAGGCACGGCAAUCGGAAGGCAAAGCUUCAGAGGUGUAGAAGCACAGACGGUUUACGGAGAAAGAACGGCGAGGUAUGGUGACUGGAACGGGAACGCUCGACGAGGCACGGCGGAGCAAGAACGGCGAAAUCUAGAAAAAUAAAAACGGCAAAACGCGAAGAUGAAACUGGCGGAAAUUAAUUUUGGGUUUUAUAUAUCCGACCCGUCCCGACAAAUUGACGGGCGACGGGGCAAGUUCCUAAAAUCGGGGCGGGUCCAGGUUACCCUUGUUAAAACCAUAUGAUCUGAAGAAUGGUAUCUUUAUUAUAAAUAUUCAAAGUCAUAUUAUUUUUGAAAAUUUGCAGAGUAGAAAAUAAAUCCUUGUCUUUCCAAGGAUGCAAAUAUAAAAGAGCCAUAAAUAAAAUGAAAGUAUUAUAAUUUUAGGCAGAGGCAGUUUCUCUUCUCACUUACUCCAGUAACCUCUUCCACUGGUCGACGAUGGUGAUCGGAGGUUGUCAAACCAUCCCCAGGCUUCAGGAUUUUUGUGCACCGGUGACAUCAACUCUGGCCUUGGUGUGAAAGGUCCGGUAUUUCCUUUCCAUAUGUCCAAGCAUUGGAGUAAUGCAUCCUCCACCUUACCUUGUUCGAAAACCUCAUACACUUUCUCAAUGCAUUCACCUGGACUGAUCUUCUUCUCUCCGGUCAAUAUCUCCGUUUGAGCCACCUUCCUCACCAGAUCAUAUACACUUUUAGUCCGGCAUUUCCUGAUUCUGUUUCCGACCAUGUACACUCCUUUCUCGAUUUCUUCUCUAGCAACGGCGACGUCCUUCACCACUCUCUCCUUCAGAUCUUCUUCAAAGACUGUGAUCUUCUUGAACGCUGAGUAACCGACUUCUUCCUUGGAACUUUUUAGGGAUUCUUCGACGAGGACUUCCCGGAGUUGCAGGAGUAGUGCAUAGGAGGAGUUGGAUGGAUCGUCGAUGUAGGAGAAGACGGGCUGACAUUCGACUACCUGGAGAAGUUCCUUCUCACAAAAGCGAGUUCUUGCAAGAUCGGAAUCACCUUCCGACAUGUACAGUGUUUUCUUUAUGGAUUGAAGAAUAGAGUGUUUCACCACUUCCCUAAGAUUUUCCUCCAUCUGUCGGAGAUCGAUAGCUUGGCACAAUCCGACCAUAUAAGUGGAAGACAUCAGUUUUAGGAUCUCGAUUGCUUCCGCGCUUUUUCUCGCGGAGAUAAGACCCAAGGAGUUAACAUCUUGGUUGUGCUGUUCCGCACUUUGGACGUGGGUGGUGACGGGAUUUGCCAGAUACUGAAGCUCUGAGCAGUAGGAUGCCAUUGCAAUCUCCGCACCCUUCAAACCGUAGUCCAGACUGGGAUCCUUCCCUCCGGGGAGAUUGGAAGGUAGUCCGUUGUUGUAGUAGUCACAUACCAUUUCGGAGAAUUGGGCGAACAUGAGUUUCCCGAUAGCCGCAAGGGCGAUCCUGAUGUUGUCCAUGGAGACUCCGAUGGGUGUUCCUUGGAAGUUCCCGCCAUGGAGAGCGAUGUCACGGUCAACGUCAAUGAUUGGGUUGUCGUUGACAGAGUUGAUCUCUCUCUCGAUAGAGUGGGUCGCCAUCCGGAUAACCUCGAGUUGUGGGCCGAGCCAUUGUGGCGAUGUACGGAGGGCGUACCGGUCCUGUUUCGGCUUCGUCAAUGGCUCCCUUUCAUUUCUUGCCUUGGCUUCCUUCAUGAAGUCACUGCCGUCGAGGAUAAACUCCAUGAUCGCCGCGGCUUCGAUCUGGCCGGGAUGGUGCUUCAAAGCAUGUGUUAACGGAUCGGUGAACUCCGGUUUUCCUUGCAUUGCCUCGCAGAACAUAGCCGAGAGAAUCACUGCCAGGUACCCGAUGAUAUUAGCGUCGUAACAGACUGUUGCAGCAACGGCGGAGCCAACAGCAGUUCCAUUGACCAAAGCCAGACCUUCUUUGGCCUGGAGCUCGAAUGGGCCGUCAAUUCCGGCAUGUUUCAACGCUUCAAGCGAAGUGAGGACCUCACCUUCAGCAGUGACAGCACGUGAAUUAUGUCUUCCCGUGAGCAAUCCAGCGAUAUAUGAAAGCGGAACGAGAUCACCAGAGGCGGUGAUGGUGCCACGAAGCGGCAACUUAGGAAUGACAUUCUUGUUCAUGAGUUUCUCCAUGCCUUGCAAAACCUCCCAUCUGAUACCGGAGUAACCUUGCAUGAGAGUGUUGGUCCUGACCAACAUAGCUGCCUUGGAGUAACUCAACGGAAGAUGGUCCUUUCCGAUUACACCAGCGUUGAGAAACCGAAUGAGUUCCGCCUGAAGAUCGGAUGUCUUGUUGGUCCGACGGUGGGACGUGGAUCCAAACCCGGUGGUAACUCCAUAAGUAUCAGUACCACGCGCUAUAUUAUCUGAAACCCACGUUGCACUUCGAGAAACACGGGCACGCGCGGCAUCGGCGUCGAGGGUGACCCGGACAUCAGCACGUCGAGUAAUCGCUGCGACCUGGGCGACGGUGAGGGAGGUGCCUUCGAUAUUGACAGAUUGAGACUGGGAGAAUUGGGUUAUCAUCUGACGAACUUCGUCGAAAUGAUUUGAUUGAAUGGCCUCAGAGGCUUUCUUCCAAUGUUGAGCAGGAGCAUUCUCUGAAACGGCGGGCACUGUUAUGGACCGGAUCAUUGCUGAUUUGGUGGAAUUAGCCAUGGAUGGAUUAGUGAUCGAGCAAAAAUAAUAAAACUGAAUUAAGUAGUUUGCUUUGCUUCUCUAUCUUUGGUUUGGUACUCUGGUGGUGUAUAUAUACAUACAUGUAUGGUUGGUAAAUGGUAACUCUGGGAGGUGCUGCUAUAAUGCUAUGGCUGCCGGAAUAAUUGAAAGAAGCAGAUCGGUCUUCUUGGGUGGCUUAAGAAGAAGACAAGAAUGCGUUAAAAUAUCAAAUCAAUUAAUUAUGAUGAAUUGGGUCAAAUUUAAUCGACUCUUUAAAGACUGACACCACUUGGUCACAACUCACCAGGUACUCAAAAUUGACCAAUUGUUGAUAAUUGAACAAGAUCAAAUCUAACAAUGCAAUUAUUGAAAUUCUUCAACAUGCAAUUAUUUACCAUAAUUGAAUUAUUCAAAUUAAUAGUAUAUAUAGUUAAUUGUUUGUAAUAUUUGAUGACUUUUUCCAUUUUAAUAAAAUCAACUCCAACUGAAUACAACUAGUUGUAAAUUUCAACAUCAGUUAAUCUUAAAUCUAAUCAUGUAACUAGUUAUAAACUUAAACAUGCAAUUAAUUGUAAAUCUGAACAUAAGUAGUAAUUUGUAAAUUUAAAUAUGUAAUAAAUUGUAAAUCUGAACAUACAAUUAAUUAGUAAUUAUAAAUAUGAACAUAGUUAUAAAUCUAAACAUGGUAACUAGUUAAUUAUAAACUGAAAUGCAACUAUUUGAAAAUCAUAAACAUGCAAUUAGUUGUAAACUUAAAAAUCCUUAACAUGCAAUUAAUGGUAAAUAUGAAUAUAAAGGCAUGUGUCUUUUUGUAAAACAAAAAUAUAUCAAUAAUGAUUUAAAGAAAUAAUGUAUAAUUGUAAAACAUCAUUUAAUUAAAUAAGCAAUGUACGUAUUUGAGAGUGGAUAUAUAGAAGCUCAAAUGAUUGAAGGAAAUUGUGAUUCUUAUUGAUGUAAUUGUUCAUAUAUAUUUAUACAAUUGAAUUCCAAAGUUUUGUUACUAUAACCGAUUCAUUGUAACUGAAUCUGGUUUAACUAUUAGUUACAAACACGCCCCCUCGAACCGGGUGGGGUGACUUCGACCAGUUCAACCCGUAGUUCUAGAAAAGAUUUGGGCCAGAGGGAUUUUGUGAGUACAUCUGCCUUUUGAUCCUUUCCUGCAACGUGUUUUACCACCAAGGUCCCGUUUUCCGUCUUCUCCCGGACGAAGUGAAGAUCCAUCGCGACGUGUUUAAGUUUGUUGUGGCAUAUAGGAUUGUUGGCGAUAAAUGUAGCCCUUGGUUGUCACUUAGUACUUGAAUUGCGCAUGUUGACACCUAAUUCUAUCAGUAGUGACUUGAUUCCUUCUGUUUCUUCUACUGUUGACGCGAUUGCCUGAUACUCGGCUUCGGUGCUAGAGCGAGCUAAUGUAGUCUGUUUUCUUGACGAAUAAGUGUGUUUCCGAUGUAAAUUUACAUCCCGGUUUGGCUCUUGCGGUCCGUCGUAUCCCCCCCUAAUCGACGUCGCAAUAGCCAGUGAUAGUGAAAUCCUUUGCUUUGCGAAGUGCUAUCCCAAAAUUUUGGGUAUCGGAUAAGUAUCGUAAUACCUUCUUUAAUGUCGUUUGGUGUAGUGGAGUUGGUGCGCUCAUGAAUUGCGCCAGUUUGUUGACCGCGAACUGGAUAUCCGGUCAGGUCAGUGUUAGCUAGAUAUUGAAGCAAACCCACUACUUGCCUGUAUUCCUUUCCAUCAUUUACUGGAUCCUCUUCGGAUCGUAGAUCCUGAUUUGGUAACGUUGGAAUUGUAGAUGGUUUGAGAUUUGUUAGAUUAAGUUUGUUUAACAAGUUUAUUAAAUAUUGUUGUUGUGACAAAUAGAUCGUAUCCACCGUUCUUCGUACUUGGAUGCCUAAGAAAAAAUUCAGAACUCCCAAGUCUUUAACUGAAAAUUCAUUUGCCAAACUUCCAAUUACUUUUUUUCACCAACUCCUUAGAUGAAUCUGUAAUCACGAUGUUAUCCACAUAAGCAAAUAAUAAUAUAUUAUGGUUAUUUUUGUGCAUGAUGAAUAACGACGAGUCUGUGUAGCUUUUUCUGAACCCCAAAUUUAUUAGAAACUCUCGUAGCUGUCUGCACCACAUUCUUGGCGAUUGCUUUAACCCAUAUAAUGAUUUUUUCAGUAAACAGACAUGAUUAGGAUGAUCUUGAUCCUCAAAUCCUGCUGGUUGAAAGACCACUAUUCGUUCAUCGAGUUCUCCAUGUAGAAACACGUUGAAGAUGUCAAUCUGAUUUAGUUCUCAAUUGUAUGUUAUUGCUAGUAAUAAGACCACUCGGAUAGAGUUAGCCUUAACCACUGGACUAAACGUUUAGGUAUAGUCACUACCCUCAAUUUGUCGUAGACCGUUAGCCACCCAUCGAGUUUUAAAACGAUCUAUGGUACCAUCUUCUUUAUGUUUUACUUUAAAAAUCCAUUUUGUAUUGAUUACAUUGUCGUUGUUGUUUCGAGGAAUCAAUGACCAAGUACCAUUUUUUUUUAAUGCUUGAAAUUCAUCUUCCAUGGCUAUUUUCCACUUAGAGUGACAUAAGGCUGAUCUUACCAAUCUGGGAAUAAUUGUAUCGGUGGCUGCUGCAGACAGUGCGUAGAGAGGAUUUGGUUUAUAAAUCCCUUUUGUUGACCUUGUCAUCAUGCGUUGUGGAGCUUGUUCGGCCUCCUCUAUUGACUCGCUUGUUAUCUCCGUUGAUCUUUCGUCGGAGAUUGUUAUUUCGUUAUCUGAUGAUUCCGGCUCGUUUUCAUGUGGAGCCGGGUCGGGUUCAGUUGAGCUUUGUACCGGGUUCACACUUCUAAUCGGAUCCAUCCCUUCUUGAUUUGUUUGAGUACUCAGGUGCAUAAUGUUGAGGAUUGGCGGUGCCGUCAUGUCCACCUGUUCUGAGAAAUUUUCGUUCUUGUCCUUUCACAAUUUUUUAUUUAAAGAAAAAUCUUCUUCCAAGAAAAUAACAUCGGUUGAAGAAUACAAUCGGCAUGAUGAGGAUCGAAACAUAGAUAUCCUUCUUGUUUUUGAGGAUAACCAAAAAAGAUGCAUGGAGUAGAUUUAGGCUCUAAUUUAUUGCUUCGAUAAAGUCUAAGGCACGAGAAGCACUUUGAGCCGAAAACACCUAAAUUGCGAUUGUAUAAAAAUGUUGCUGUCAAGACUGAGUAAUCCCAAAACUCCAUAGGCAUAUUGGCUUGUUUGAUUAAUGUUAUUGUCGUAUCAACUAGGUGUCGGUGUCUCCGUUCUACGGAUCCCAUUUGAUGAUGACUGUGGGGGCAUGAAAACGAUGUUUGAUUCCAACUUGCUCGAGAGAGUUUGUUAAUUUUUUAAACUCUAAUGCAUUAUCAGUUUGGAUUUUCUUUAUUGGUCGACCUUUCUGGAGUUCUGCCCAUCUUUUAAAUUUUUGAAAAAUAUCACCUAUAUCAGAUUUUCGGACGACAGGAAAACCCCGAUUAAAACUGGUUGCACCAUCAACAAAAUUUACGUAAUACCGGUAUCCUUCUGAUGAUACUACCGGUGCCGACCUCCAAAUGUCCAUGUAAAUCAUUUCAAGUGGCUGUAAGUAUAAUGAGUUUGAAUUUUUGUGAUGUAUAACAUGACUUUUUGCAACAAUAUACAUGACUCACAAUCUGAAAUUUUUUGAAAAGAUAUUGAAAUAAGAUUUUUAUUAACUAGAUCUUUUAUUGCUCUAGUAUGUAAAUGACCAAGUCGUGCGUGCCAUCGGUCUCCCGUUACAGCUGAGAGUACCUCUUUAUUCCCGUCAAUUUCUAAAGGUAACCGGUAAAGUCCAUUUUCCUCACGUCCUUCAGCUAGAAUUCUUCUCGUGUCCGUGUCCCGUAUUUUGACACUCUGCUUGUCAAAUUCAACAUAAACCUCAUUAUCUGCACAUAACCUCUGGACAGAUAAUAAAUUUCUUGUAGCAGUUGGUACUAAAAGUAAAUCAUCCAGUAGUAGAUUAUUAUUGUUAAAUUUAGCCUUUGAUUUUCCAGAUUGUAAUAUAGGCAUAGACUCCCCAUUAGCGACUAUGAUCGAAGAAUUACCUUUGUAAGGGGAUGAAUUUUGAAUUAACAUAACUGCCCCAGUAAGAUGAGUGGUUGCCCCAGAGUCGGGGUACCAUAUAGACAUCACGCCACGAUUAAUUGCCAUAUUUGCCUCCGGUUGUGAAAAUGAUGGUAUGUGUUGGAAUUGAGAAAGUUAUUAAAACAAUCAAGCUUUCAAUUGUAUUAGCUUGAAUCACUAAAAACACUAUUUCAAAGAGAGAAGUUAAGUUUUCCAAUCGAUCCUUGUUUGUUUAUAUAAGUAUUAUGAUUAGUUAACAACUAUUAUAAAACUGAAUUAGUUUAUAACUAUAUUCUGUUUUCAACAUGCUCUCUCAAACCGACGAACAUGGUUGGACGAAUUUGGAUCUUAGUUGAAGGAAUGCCUUUGGCGGAAGCGGUUUAGUCAACGCGUCGGCCUUCUGUAGAUUACCUGAAAUGUGACUAACUUUUAUUAUUCCCAUCUCGGAUUUUUCCCUUACGAAAUGAAAGUCCAUAGCGACAUGCUUCAUUUUCUGUGACACACCGGGUUGUUGUCUAUAAAACUUGCCCCUUGAUUAUCACUUAGAAUUCCCAUUGGUAGUGGAACUUGGACUCCUAACUCAUAAUAAAGCUCUUAUUCCUUCCGUUUCUUCUACCGUUGUGGCCACCGCUCUAUAUUCAGCCUCCGUACUUGAUCGUGCUAGCGCCGUCUGCUUCUUCGAAGACCACACCACCAAGGUCCCGCCAACGUAUAUCAAGUAACCUGUAUGACUUUUUCGGUCUAAUAGAUCACCCCCAGUCUGCAUCACAUGCAGUAGCCUGAGAUGCUGAAAUCCUGAACCUUGUUUAACGUUAUUCCCAUAUUUACACUUCCCGACAGAUAUCUCAACAAUUUCUUCAUUGCAAUCCAGUGACCUGAUUCGGGUUUAUUAAGAAAUUGAGACAAUUUGUUUACCGCGUAUUGUAUGUCGGGUCGAGUUAGUGUAAGAUAUCGUAACGACCCGAUGACCCGCCUAUAUUCCCCUUCAUCUGCUAUUUCGUCAUCGUUAGCCGGAAAAUCCCCACGAGGUAACAUCGGCGUCGUUGAUGGUUUUGCGUUUAUGAGACCGCAACUUUCCAGCAGUCCUAACAAGUAUUGUCGUUGUGAUAGUCUCAAUCCUUCCUUUGUUCGAUAAACCUGUGUUCCAAGGAAGAAGCUUAAAUUCUCCAAUUCUUUGAUGGCAAAUUCUUCUCCGGUCUUGGUAAUCAUUGAUUGUAUGAUCCUUGAUGAUGAUCCUGUUACAACGAUAUCAUCAACUUACGAAAAUAAAAAUACUGUAUCACCCUUGUCGAUGUAUAUGAAUAAAGAUGGGUCUGAGUAACUUUCUUUAAACCCAAUUUUAAUCAAGAAAUCACGCAAUCUCCUAUACCACAUUCUCGGAGAUUGCUUUAAACUAUAUAAAGAUUUCUGCAAAAGACACGCGUAAUCCUGAUUUUCCUUGUCUUCAAAACCUGUUGGUUGUGUAACAAGAAUCUUCUCAUCCAAAUUUCCGUGUAGAAAAGCGUUCGAAACGUCGAUCUGCUUGAGCUCCCAAUCUUUGCUAAUUGCUGUUAGUAACACUAUUCUGAUUGAAUUGGCUUUGACUACGGGACUAAAAGUGUAAUUGUAAUCACUUCCUUGCACUUGUUUCAUCCCAUUAGCCACCCAUCUUGCCUUGUAGCGUUGAAUCGCUCCGUCCUCGCCUUGCUUUAUUUUGAACACCCAUUUGGUGUUAAUAACUCAUCACUUGGCGACUGUGGAACAAGCCUCCAGGUCUGAUUUCGAACAAGAACCUCAAAUUCAUCCUUCAUGGCCGACUUCCAGUGUGGUUGUGAUGAGGCUAUUUUAGCCGAUCUUGGUACCCUCCAUUGAUCAAUGGUAGUCAAUAACACGUAUUUUGGAUUUGGCUUAUAGACUCCCGUCUUUGACCUAGUAAUAAUUUUCUCUACUCGUGGUAGUAUCUCUUCUUCGGCGACGUCAAUAACUUCAUCCGGAACUGUAACUAUUAUAUUAUGUUCAUCCCAUUCUUUGUUCAAGUCAUUAGUUGUCGAAUUAGGUAUCGGAUAUUGAGUAUCAGAUUGGUGUUGAAUGUUAAAUAUAUUACCUUAUAUUUAAUGUAAUAUAUUAUGAUAUACGUAUAUUACGUUAUAGGUAAUAUAUUUAAUAUAUUACCUUAUAGAUAUUAUUAGCAUAUUGUAAUAUGGGACGGUUACUAUUGUAAGUGUAUAUAUAGUCAUGAAUAUAUAGCAUAAUAACCAUCUUUCAGUUAUUCUCCAAAACUACUAUAGUUCAUCUUCUUCCAUCCCUCAUCAUGGUCGGAACUAGUCAAUCCAUCUCUUCCAUGUUCUCAUCCUCCACUGCAAAUGUUGUUCCAAUCUCCAAUAUGGUAUCAGAUGCGUCGUCUGAUCCUAGGGCCACUCCGCUUCCAACAUUUUCGUUUCUCACCGGCCCUCAGACGCCGUCGGAACCCCAUCAUUUGGUUUGAUUCAGAGCUUCCUCCAUAUCAAGCUCACGGCGACAAACUAUCUUAUCUGGAAAAUACAAUUUACUCCGUUAAUAAAUUGCUUUGCUCUUCAACUAUUUAUUGAUCCGACAUCGCCGGCUCCAUCUCCUACGUCCCCAAAUUUUCAGACAUGGUGGCGCAAAGAUCAGCUCCUAGUGAGUUGGAUUGUGUCUUCUUUCUCGAAGGAAAUUAUCCCGUCAGUCUUGGGUCUCCCCUCGGCCGCGUCGAUCUGGAGCACGCUAGCCUCCUCGUUUGGUCGCCCGUCAGAGUCGCGGAUCCUCCAGUUGCAAAUGCAACUACAGAACACGCGACAUGAGGCGGAUGAAGACAUUUCGCGAUUUCUCCGCCGGGCGAAGCUGAUCGCUGACGAGCUCUCCGCUACGGGUGCGCCGAUUUCACUCCGGGUCUUCAACGCCUCCGUCUUCAACAACCUCUCCGUCGACUACUCACAGGUUGUUACCGCACUCGCCGUCCGCCAAAUACCGGUGCCGUUCGAUGAGCUACUGGAAAUCAUGACGAGUCAUGAAAUCCGGCACAAACUCCGGCAGCCGAUAGUCGUCGCCGCCAAUCACACUCAGGCGACGUCCAACACUUUUGACGCGUCCGUGAAGACGACGCGAUCUGGGAGCUUCGGUGGACGAUUUGGUGGAAAUCGCGGAAGAGGGAGGAGUGGAGGACGUGGUGGACGACCAGCUCGAUCGACCUAGGAGGGACCCAUGUCCAAUUUGUGGGCAAUUUGGUCAUAGCCCAUAUAAAUAUCACUAUAGGGUCCAGCCCAAUAGCACAAAUGAAGGCCACAAUCAAAAUGGGCAACACAACAAUUCCUUUGCUCCACCUCACGUGACACGUCAUCCAGCCACUCAUCACACAGCUGUCACUGAGUCACACUAUGAGCCUACUGAGUUGGAAUCCGAAAAUGCCACGUCAGCAUGGUAUCCCGAUACAGGGGUCACUCACCAUUUCACCCCAUAUAUUCAAUCAAUAAGUGCACCACAACAAUAUCAUGGGCCUGGAUCAGCCCAGUUAGGUAAUGGGACCAAAUUAUCUAUAGCUCAUGUGGGAAAUGGUAAAAUUGCAUGUGGAACCUCAUCUCUUUUUCUCAAGGAUAUUUUGCAUGUUCCAUCCUUGAAUACGGCAUUAUUAUUUAUUUAUCAAUGUUGUAGAGAUAAUAAUUGUUAUUUCAUUUUUGAUAAAUCUUGUGUUUUUGUAAAGGACCAGGCUACACACAGGGUGCUAGCUCAAGGGGCUUAUAAUGGUCACCUUUACAAAAUCGUGCCAUCUCUUGCAUCGCCUCCGUCAGCGUCUCUUCAUUCCACCCAGGCUUUCAUUGAUCUCUGGCAUCAAAGGCUGGGUCAUCCUCAUUAGUCCAUUGUUCGACAUAUUGUUUUUUCUAAUAAAUUACCAUCAUCAUCUUUGAAAUUUAAUCAUUGUAGCUCUUGUGUGCUUGGCAAAGCUAGUCGGAUACACCUUCCAUCUACAUUUUCUAAGUGUUAUUUUCCUUUGGAGAUGAUACAUAGUGAUGUUUGGGGGCCGGCUCCUAUGUCAUCAACGGAAGGUCAUCGUUUCUUUGUUUUCUUUCUUGACGACUUUUCUAGAUAUAUUUGGUUAUUUCCUAUGAAACAUAAAUCUGAGGUUGCGAUGAUUUUUAAAAAUUUCCACAUUAUGAUUGUAAAACAAAUUGGUCAUAAAAUUAAAUCUUUUCAAUCUGAUUUUGGUGGAGAAUUCCAGACACUUUUUUCAUAUUUUGUGUCUCAGGGCAUUUAUCAUAGAAAAUCAUGACCUCACACCCAUGAACAAAGUAAAACCGCAGAGCGGAAAAUUCGGCAUAUUGUGGACACCGGAUUAACACUUCUCGUUCAUGGUAAAGUUCCCCUCCAUUUCUGGAACUUUGCAUUUUUGACAUCAGUUUUUACCAUAAAUCAUAUACCUUUUAAAACUCAUGGUAUUGCUCCUAUUCAAAACUCUUUAAUACAUGUCCUAGACUCACUUUUCUCAAGGUUUUUGGUUGUGAAGCAUUCCCUUUGUUACGACUCUACAACAAAAAUAAGUUCUCAUUCCGGUCCAUUUUGUGCGUCUUUCUUGGAUAUAGCCCAUCUCACAUGGGUUAUCAAAAAUCACAAAUACUAUAUAUCUCGUCAUUGUUCGUUUUUCGAGGACUCUUUUCCAUUUGCUAACUUGCAGGGGUCUAAUAAUAAAAUUCAACAAGAAGCAAGUCCUUGGGGAAUUCUUUCAUCCUUUUCGGACCCGGUCAAGUUAAAUCGGCCCAAUCCGGAAUUGUCAAAUUUACCCCAAAUCACUUCCACUUCAAGUUCAGUCCGUUCCCCAUUCAUAUUACGUUAUAGGUAAUAUAUUUAAUAUAUUACCUUAUAGAUAUUAUUAGCAUAUUGUACUAUGGGACGGUUACUAUUGUAAGUGUAUAUAUAAUCAUGAAUAUAUAGCAUAAUAACCAUCUUUUGGUUAUUCCCCAAAACUACUAUAGUUCAUCUUCUUCCAUCCCUCAUCAUGACCGGAACUAGCCAAUCCAUCUUUUCCAUGUUCUCAUCCUCCACUGCAAAUGUUGUUCCAAUCUCCAAUAAUUGGAUCCUGCACGUUGAAAAUUGGAUCAUGACAAAUCGGAUCUUGUUGAUAAAGAGAUAGCUCCGUAUUAGUAUUCCGUUAACUCUGUGAGCUGACAUCCAGAAUUUCCAGAUCAUCUGAAUAUAGGUCGGACUCUCGAUUCUUUGCCGAUGAUUGGACUCCUUGCGAUGUCAAACUUGAACUUAAAGAAAAAUCUUCCUCCAAGAAUCAAACGUUCUUGGAUAUGUACAUUUUCUUUCCGUUGGGAUCAAAACACAUGUACCCAUCAUGCUGUUGAGGGUACCCAAUAAAAAUGCAUUCAACCGAUCUAUUCUCUAGCUUAUUCGUCGGUGAUGACGUAGACAAGGGAAGCACCGGCAGCCAAAGACUCUAAGUUUCCCGUAAUCCGGAGCCAAAGCACCGGUGAGAUUCCUUAAAGAAUUCGGCUGAGGACUGCAUAUUCCCAAAAAGUUUUGGGUAACCCAACAAGAUGAAUCACUGUAAGAGUUGUGUCGAUCAAGUGUCGAUGUCGUCGUUCAACCGACCCCAUUUGCGGGUGAUCAUAAGGACAUGAGAAGCGAUGAGUUAUUCCGAAAUCCUCGAGUUUCUUGGUCAGACUUUGGUAUUCCUUUGCAUUGUCGGUUUGCAAAGAUAAUAUUCGAAGUCCAAUUUGUUGUUCAAUCCAUACCUUGAAUUUUAAAAAUAUUUGUCACUUCUGAUUUUCUUUUCAUCAUAAAAAUCCAAUUAAAGUUUGUUGUGGCGUCAACGAAAUUCACAUAAAACCUACUAUCAUUUACUGAAUUUAUAGGUGUUGGACUCCAAAUAUCCGAGAAUAUCAAUUGUAAAGGGAGAUAAGAAGUGUCACUGCUUUUACGAGGAAGAUUAUGUGAUUUUUGUAUUAGACAUGAUUUACAUUCAGAUAUCUCUUUACAAUCUGAAACAGAUGAAAUUACAGAAUCUUUGAUUAAUUUCUUAACACUUUGUUUAUUGAGAUGCCCCAUUCUUGCAUGUCAUAAUCUUCCUUCAACCGCCUCGGCUGUUAAUGCCUGAAGACUUUUAUUCUUUUCCAACUUUAUUUGAUAUAAUCCGUCCUUUGCUCUACCCUUUGCUAGUAUUUCAUUAGUUAGCAGAUCGCGGACCUCCACUUUCUGUUUGUCAAAUUGUACGUAUACUUUAUUGUCAUUACAUAAUUGUUGUACAGAUAAAAGAUUUCUUGAUGCUUCAGAAACUAAUAGAAUUUCUUUAAGAAUUAAAUCAGAAGCAAUUGAUUUACCAAUUUGAGUAAUUUUCAUGGAUUCCCCGUUUGCCGUAAGGACUGAUUCUGUUCCUAAAUAACUUUUAAUAUUAUCAAUAUUCUCACCUGUGUUGGUUAUAUGGCAGUAGCAACGGUAUGGCGGUAUCUGGAUACCAAAUUGUAGAGGCUGACCCGGUGACAAUGUUGGCUUGGGGUGUGGUCGGAGUUGUGUUCAAGCCUAUAAGAACCAAACGUCUCGUGUGAGAGACUGAAGGAAAUCUUUGAAAAUUAACUCGAUGAUAAUAAUCUCUAUCUUCAUGUCCCUUCCUUCAAGCAAAUUUGACAUGGAUUGUUUGCGUCAUUCUUGGUUUUAAACGCCACAUUCGUUUCGUUUUUCACCGGUGUUUGGAUGAACUGAAGCUCGUCAUCCAUCAAAAGAUUCUUUAGCCGUGCAAAAGUCAUCGUGGGAUAAAACCUUGUUGUGAUCGACGUAACAAAAGGUUGAUAGUUAGAAUUUAAACCACCCAAUGUGAUUAAGAUGAUUUGUGAAUCCUUAAUCAUUUCUCCUGCCGCCACCAGCCUGUCUUUCGCUAUUGAGAUCUUCUUGAGGUAUUCUGCCAUGGUUGAAUCGUUCUUCUUGAUAUUUUGUAAUUGAAAACGAAGAUGUAACACCCUUGUUUAUGAAUCUGAAGAAUACAACUCGUUCAAACAUUUCCAUACUUCUGCAGAAGUUGUUAGUGCCGAAACUUGCGGUAAUAUUGACGACGAGAGCGACGUCAAGAUGAGCUGGUCCUGUUGUUCAGCAACGGAUCCCAGAGUGAGCUCCUUUAUGCCGUCGACGUAAUCAAUAAGCUGAUAGCCUCGAAGUACAGCAGAAAAUUGUGCUUUCCAACUGAGAAAAUUUUCUUCCUCCAGUGUUAUGCAUUUGAUCUGCUUCAUGAUAAUCUUUUCUCUUUUUCGAGAUCCAGAUAGAUAUGCAACGGAAUUUGGAUCUUGAGCCGAGGAAGAAGAAGCCCCCCCACCUUGUGAUGAUGCCAUGUUGGAAUUGAAAAAGUUAUCAAAACAAUCAAGCUUUCAAUUGUAUUAGCUUGAAUCACUAAAAACUCUAUUUCAAAAAGAGACGUUAAGUUUUCCAAUCGAUCCUUGUUUGUUUAUAUAGGUAUUAUGAUUAGUUAACAACUAUUAUAAAACUGAAUUAGUUUAUAACUAUAUUCUGUUUUCAACAGUAUGUUUAUUGGUAUUAAAUUUUGGUUGUGCUUUGGAAGGUACCGAACGAAAUUUACCCGAUUAUAACAAUUUAGGGCUACAUGCCCUUUCUUCAAACAGAUUUGACAAGGGUGAUUUCUUGCCGAAAAAUCUGAUUUUGCGUGAUCUUGAUGAGAUUUUGUUGCGAUAUUGACUUCAAUUGACGCCGGUGCCGAUACGAUUUGCAUUUCGUGAUCGACCAGCAGCUGUUGAGAAAAAAGGAAUUAAUUUUGGGGGAAAAAAUUACCCUCUUUUUUUCAAGAAAAAGAAAAUCAAUUGAGUUGAUCAGUCAACUGAUACCAUAUUAAAGUUGAUCAAAACUCUAAUUGAAUUUCAAAUGAAUGAUUAAUUUUAUUAACAACAAAUGAGUGUAUUGCAACAGUAUUUAUAGAAUAUCUGUGACUGACACAAUUAUCAAUUGAACCAAAGUAAUUAUUCAUUAUUACUAACUAACUCAAUCCUAAUUAGUAUAACAUGACAGUUAUUAGUUAUAGAGUUAAUUACAAUCUAAAUUAAAUGAAACAAACCCUGAUCUUUUUUUUAUCUAAACCCUAAAGCUCGAACUUUUGAUAAAAAUAUCGUAAUUGAAGAAAUUCCAAAUCAUGGCUUGGUAAUGGCCAAAUAAAGAUAUACGAACAAUAAUUUCAUUAAAUUAGAUAAAAAUGGGGAUGGCAUUGGCAUAAGAAUAGCACUAUUUCGAUUUCCAUUUCAAAUCACCAUACAAACACAUCAUUUGUUACAUGAAGAGAAAAAGGGAAUUGCUUUCAACUUAUCCUAGGGUUGCAUGCUAUUCACCACAGUUUUUGUUCUCAGAAGUUGGCAUUCCAGCUAGGUUGACCAAGUUGAGGUUGCUGGUAAGAUCCAAUUUGUGUAGAUGGAGUGGUCAUACCGAUCCCAACAUUCCCACCAACGCCAGAUGGGUGUUGCUGAUGAACCAGGUGAUGGGCGUUAGCAAUAUUUGGUUGUUGUGCUGCUUGGUAUAAACCCUGAUGGAAUAUAUGGGGUGUCUGUUGAGCAUUAAAAGAAGCAUGGUUGCCGUGACUUGGCAUGAAACUGGCAUGCGGCAAUUGUCCUGGUAUAUUAAAGUAGGGAGCUGAUUGCAUGCCUAGAAGAUCCCUUGGACUUUGGACCCAUAUUUCAGGUGUCUCUGUCUAAAAGAAUAAAAGCAGAAGAAAAAUUAUCAUCUUUAAAAGAAGACGUAAGCUGUGAAUCACUGAACCAUGAUUAAAAAAUCAUACCUGAGCAUUUUGGACAAAAAAAUUGCUGUCUUUGUACUUAAUCAUGUUGGCAUCAUCAAGAUUAGACGUAGCACCACUGAUAGAAUAGGCAGCAGGAUUUGUGUAAUUCCCAUAACUAAUGUUACUACUAGAAGGAACAGGUUUGUACUUAAUACCAGCAGCAUUUAAUUGAGAACCACCCCCUGGCAUCAGCACAUAACUACUUACAUUUGACGGAUGAGGGUAAGCAGGAUUGUUUGAGUAAUUAGGAACAGCCAUUUGUGGAACAUACAUCGGUGGGAUAAAUUGUCGAUAAGGAAGAUAAUUAGGGAAUUGUGGAAAUUGCAUUUGUGGAUAGAGUUGUGCCACUUGUUGAUGUUGUGGUAGUUGCUGUUGCUGUACCAUGGCUACAGUGGAAGAUGGGUUGUUUGUCUCAUGCAGGUUGAGUGCCUGUCACAAAUAAGAAAAAACAAUAUUAAAAAAAAAACAAUAUUAAAAAAAAACAAUAUAAAAGUAGAUUUCAGGUGGUGUUGCAAAGGGAAAUUUAAGUUAAAAAUUUAUGGCAUCUUCUUCUGCCUUUUUUAUUAAGCAUUACGAGAUUCUUUUUUCUGUCAGUUAAUGUUUUUUCUUUGGAUGUCCUCUUGAGUCUUCAAUAUAGACUAUUGGAAAUCCGGAAUCAGAAAUCAUGACAACAAUACCUCAUACGGUGAAGUUAAUGCCUGGACUCGAACAUCAUCUGCAACUGAAUCUUUAAAGAAUGCCAAAUCAAAACUAUUUUUUGUGCCAUAUUCCUUCAAUCAAAUAUAGAGAAAGUUUAGAUAAUUUCUCAGUACAGUAUAAACCCAAAACAUAUUUGACACCAAUGAAUUUCAAAAACAAUAAUAGCAUCCUUUAAUCAAAAUAUGGAGAAAGUUUAGAUGAUUUCUCAGUACAGUUAAAAACCCAAAACAUAUUUCACAAUCCACACCAAUGCAUUUCAAAAACAAUAAUAAAGCCAUGAUUUACAAACUGUCUGCAAUAAUUUGAAACAAGCGAUUUACGAUAAUUAUAACAAGAAAUGAAUGGCUUACAGAGGUAAAUCAAUAAACCAACAAUAUUAUAUUGCAAAUAACAAAGAGGAAAAGAAAAGAGUUUUUUUUUAACUCACAGAAAAACUUGGCAGAUUGGGUUGACUUUGUGACUGGUGUUUAUUUUGAGGACUACGUGAGUGUGAUAAACUGGUUCUAUCUAGUAAUCCAACUUGUGUAUAAUUCUCUGAAUUUAGAAUUCUUAAAUUUUUAGCAGUUUCAGAUGAAGAUUCUUCUGAUGCUGGGUUAUCUGAUUGAGAUUUUCUCAAAUGGCUAUCUGUGAAAAUCACCUUAUCUCCAGCUGGAACAUCUUUAACUGACAAUACAGGUAUUGAUGCUGAUAUACUGGUAUCAGAUAAUAACAAAGUCAGCUUCAGAAAAAGAAAAAAAAGAACAGAUAAACAAUGAUGGCUCUAAUACAAAAUGUAAAUGAAUCUGACUAAUACCCUAUAGUCUAUACCAUAUAUUAUAUAACAAUGGCUGCAAAUACAAAGAAUAUCACACGAUCUUUCUUAGAGGACAGGUAAAAAUAAAAGUAAAGUUAUAUAUAAGUCGAAACGCUAUCGAACUAAAACUAAAUGCAUAAAGACACAAAUUAUUAUGUUUAAGAUGGAAAUUACCAGGCCCAUUAUAGCAUUUUCUAUUCCACAAAAUUAGGUAUAUUAAAGCAAUUAUAAUGAACCAUGACACAACAUGUAGAAUUUUGAUUUACUUGACUAUAUCAAGCAGUAUAUUGAAUCUGUACAAUCUAAUGAAAAAGGUGAUAUUAGAUAAAAUCAUUAAAAAAUAGAGAAUGAAAUGGAAAGCCAUCUAAAAUAGCUAUAUUGAUCCUUUAUCCAUGUAACAAAACUCGUGACUACGUGAUAUAGAAGUAUGACUGUUGAAAGAAACUUAUGAAGACGAUCUUUUAUGCAUAAACAUCAAUGACUAAAAUUAAAAAUAUGAAAAGAAUGAAAAACCUUAUUGGUGCUUCGGACAUGAAAUCUUUCGGAGAAUUGAUCCCAUCUUCAAAACUACCAAAUGUCAGGUUGAACUUAUCUUCCUCUGGUACUCUAAGAUGUUGAGGUAUGACUACAUGCUUGUUAGCAUUAACGCUAACUUGUGAGAGAUUAUCGGACAGAGAAGUAACUUGAACCUUUAAACUAGAAGAAAGCUCGUCGAGUGCUGCAGAAGGUGAUGUGGUUGAGUCAAUAACUUGGGAAGAAAUAGUAUUUGUCUUUUUACUUAGCUUUGGUUUCCACUCCAUAUUGGAUUGUGUUACUACAAAAAAUAAAAACAAACAAAGAAUCAGCAUGCCAACUUACUUUUUGGAUGAGAUAUAAUUCCACUAUAAUAGCAAUAAAAAAUUAUCUUUAAAUAAUACCUUUUUGAUGGCCAACAGAUUGUUGAUACUGUCUGCUACUAUAUUGCGUUGGAGAAAAAGAUCUUCUAGAAGAAGCACUGGUCGGUAGAGCUUCUGAUCCAGAAUUUUGAAUGACUUGAAUAUUCUUUGAUAAAGGAGGGGCUUUUCCAAUGGUGUCUGAAUGUACAGGUACAUCAAUAUCCUUUGCUCCAGUUGCAGGUGCAGUAUUUGAAAUAUUUGGAACACUUGACUGUGAAAUUGAAUGGUCAGAAGGAGGAUGACGAACACCUACCACACCAACAAUUCCUGCUGCACGAGAAUCUAGAGAAGGGAUGUGAACUGGAUCUGAAGAAGAAGAAUAUAUUCCAAUGACAGAUGUGGGUUUUGAAGUUGCAAAUUGCAUAUCAGACUUCUGUAAAGCUAUUUUUUUUAUCAAUCCUGAAUUUGACACUGUCGCCUGCGAUCCUCUCAGUUGCAAAGAAGAUCUUGUGGAAUUUGAAAAUUGACUAUUACCAUGAGGACCAGUGGAACCAAUUGCCUGCAAUUUUGAGUUCCUGACAGUUAGAAAACUUUGAUCAGUACACUUUAUUGAAAGAUGAAAGAUAUUUGAGCUUGUAAUUUUUUUAAAGAAUACAAUCGUAAAAUUGCAUGAAUAACACCUUGCUAUGAACAAACAAGAGUAGUGAAAAUGACAUAAUCAAACUUCAAUUCUUAUUUCAUUGCAUUAGGCAUAAUAUAUUGAAGUUUAAAUAAAAUUCUACUUUCCUAAUGCACUACGUAAAUAACAAAAAACACCAGAGUAUAGCCGCAUAUUAAUUAAUUACAUUUUACCUAAUUUACUUAAAACCAUUAAUAUGUAUUGCUGUUUUUUUAUGAAAGUAAAAUUCCAUUAGACAUGAAAGGGGUUUUGCCCACGAUUACAGAUAUAAACAGAAUGAAAGGGGCGAACCCCAGCAAUGGAGGAUUCACUGAAAGUGGGAGAGGAUGGGCUCUCUAGGAAUCAUCCAUCUUUUUCCUUUAAUGCAGAGCUCUAGUAUUUAUAUACAAGAAUUUAGAAUAGAAGUGGAUUGAAAAACAAUAUUUUACAAGUAAUUGCAGCUCUAAUUGCAAAAAAAAGACAUUCUUAACAGCAAUCAAAAAUAAAUAUUACAACAAUAUAGAAAAUAAUUUUAUAGUUAUGUAUUUUCUGUUUCUUUUAUUUAUAUUUUCAUAUAAGUAGUUGUACAGAAAAACAUCAUGCACCUCUUUUCUGCAACAUAUGAAGAGGCCUGCUCACUUUGAGAUGUAUUUUGCUCAACGGAUUGUUUUACUCUGUUGUCCCUGACAACACGAAACUGACGGUUGAUUCCUGCAUCUGGUGCAAAUUUAUUAAAAAUUAAAAUAGUGCCUAAUUAUUUAUUUAUUUAUUUUUGACGAAUUAAAGUUUUCAUUACUGAAAAUAGAGUUGGGCAAUGCCCGAGAUUACAAAUGUAGGAAAAUGCAAAUACAUAAGAUGUAAGUAUAAAUAAAAACAUGUAAAAGCAUUGUAGCUCUCUUAUACAUUUGUGACCAUGGCUAACUAGUCAAGGACUGGUACCUCAAAAGGUUGGACUCCCAUAAACUUAUGGCUUGAUUUUCAAUCUGUGUAAGAUUGAACUUCUUAUAGGUUGUGAUACCAUAAGUGAUGCUCACAUACCUAAUGAUUUCUCUGCUUACAAUUUCUGGAGGCCUCAUUGUAUGUUGUUUCCCUUUAUCACCAUAUGUGCCAGAAGAGUGAGGCUAACACCAGCCAAUGCAAACCCCAACAACUAGCUCUGUAAGCGAGUUUUUAAAUUGUUUAAAUAAUGUGCCCUAUUCUAAUGUCUACUGAGGGAGAGGGAGGGUUUGACCCCUUAGUGACCAUAUAGCAUUAUUGAGGAUUUUAGGCAACCAAUGGAAUCUAGUAAAAGAAGCUUGGAGUAUUGGCAGUUGAAAAGGUAUUGCAUUGUCUCUUCCUCCAGCCCACAUAGAGGGCAGGUAGUUUGUAGUUGGAUUCCCCAAGUAUUGUGCCUAGUGAGGGUGUUAAGACUUUUAACUUUAAUUCUCCAUAAAAACAUGGAGAAUUUAAGGGGCAUUUUGGAUCAUAUUCCAGAGUUCAGAUCUUGAAUAAUACCCUUGGGUCUUAGUUUUUCUAAGUGUUUGGAGGGAGCUAUUUGAAGGAUCUUAUAGUUGCUCAGACAGUUAUUGCACUUAUUUAUUAUUUUAUUUACGUUCUAUAAAUAAGAUCAACUCCAAAGUACUUUGGUGGUAUAGACAAUUGAUGGUAAACAUAAGCUAGUAUGAUACAAAUGCAAAAUAAGUAUAUUACAAAUAAUUUUCAUUAUUUUGUGGUCAGUUUAAUUUGAGUUACAUAACAAGAGUGGGUGAUCCUGUUAGGACUUAGGAAAACUCCACUCACUGGAGAUUGGAAAUUCACCCCAAGUAAGGAUACUAUGAGAGAAGCAAUAUAACACUAUCAAGGACUCAAGGUUGAAUUGGGGGUGGGUUUUUCACAGAGAAAGAUGGAAAAGUCAUACCAAAGACACAACUUGGUUUUUUAUCCUCCCACCACCUUAAUUGCACUCUGUAGAGAUAUCGAGAUAUGAGGCAAAGGCUUUGCCACAGUAGGAAUUCAUUGGGAUUGACUUCCUAGUUCCUACACUCUGGUUCAAAAAAGAAAGGGUGGAGGAGUGACUAGUGAGUGGAUGGACUUAGUGGAAUGUGGUAGGAUAUUAGUGAGGGAGAGGGUGUUUCUAUUUGGACUUAGUGGACUGUGGUGGUUUGAAUUAUCAUACUGGAAUAAAUCAUUAUCGAAACAUGCUGGACUCUCUGGAAUCACCUCCUUCAUACCUACCAUGUUAAACUCAUUACAUACCUUAGACACACUAGGCUCCAUGUUUUCAAUGUGGAAAUCUAUACGGGUAUCAGGCCUUUCUUUCUCCUCUUCAGAUUCAGUGGGGGUGAGAUCCUUCCAACUGUCAAUAACUGUAUUUUGAUCCUUGCAACUGUAUUCAGAUUCUUUGGAGACCAUUACAUUGAGCAUGGUUUGCGUUUUCUAAAUAUUUGCAUUAUGAUUAUGUAUGCAGUUCAUGUAAUGAAGUAAAAUAUGGACUUUCCUAAUUUUUCUUAACUUUAUAUUAUUUAAUUCAUUUUUACUUAUUUUAUAAAUUUAUAUAAAUUAAAUAAAAAAAUAAACCAAAACAUGUGCAGAUCUUAGUAAAAAACUAAAAAUAUUACCAGUUCUUGUAUUUUGAGAAAAACUUCCCCGGCGAUAAUUGUUAAAGCUCUUCUCUAGAGUUUUUUGCAUUGGCAAGGACUUUUCUAGAAAAUAAUCUGGAUCAACAGAUUCCUUACAAUUUGCAAUCUGAAAUAUAGAGAGCCCGUCAUAUCUUUUAGGUUAAAUGUAUAGAUUUGAAAAUACCGAAAGAAAGGAAGAAAAAAAUCAGAAAAAGAGAAGGAUAAAUGGGGAUCGCAAAAUAUAUCAAAUAUUCUAUUGGCAAUUUAAUAUGCAGAGUAAAUAUCAAUUAUUUUCUAAAGCAUAAAUAAUGAAUUGUUUAUAAAUAUUUAUAAAGAUCCCAUGAUUUAAUCCAUAACACAUUAACACCCAGAUUUUUAUCGCAAACUAAAAUAUCAUAAACAUAGAUUUAGAUAAAAUAGGGUAAUUUAAAAUAAAAAAAUAAGUGAUGCAUAAUCGGCCAUUGAAUUUUAAUUUUUAACAAACCAAUUUUAACAAAACUUAUAAAUAUCUGUUAACUUUGCAUAUGAUAGAAAUCCCAAACGAAGUAAUCAUAAUAAAUAUUCAAAAAAUACAGCAUAAUAUUACUAGAGUGAGUGAUAAUCAUUAGAAAUAGUAGAAUACCUCUUUUUUAUCACGUUUUCUCCUAACCUCGUGAAAUGGAUCUGUUUGUUAGAAAACAAAAGUAUAUAUCAAAUGUUUGAAUAAAAUUGGAGGCAAGACUGAGAUUCAAAAAAUUCUCUCUAUCUCGAAUAAUGUGGUUUUAAGAAAAUAAUUAAAAAAGAAUAUGAAUCAUCCUUAGAUGGUGAAUGGGGGAUUUCCAAUUUUAUUUACAGCUUGAGAGUAUUUGGAUUAAACGACAAAAUUAGCAGCAUUUACUGCAGUAACUGGAUGAAAUAUCAUAUAUAUAUAUAUAUAUUUAAAAUAAGCUAAACAAUUAAAUAACUCGCAUGAUAGACUGAGACUAACUAAUCAGAUACUAAGGGGGAAAACUCAUAACUAGCACCGCUAACUAAGAAAAAUGACACAUUUAAGGGGGGACAAAAACGAGUGUUACGUUUUCGAAAAAAAUACAGAGAAACGUAGCCAAUAACGAAGACAUAGUUUAAAGAGAGAGACAUUAAUGAUCCGAACAUACUAACCUUGAUUAAGAAGUUUGGCUGCAGCUUCGUUGGGAUCCAUACCAGCUUCCUUUAGCGCGGUGUAAAUCUCAGCUUCGGAGUGGUUCCCAACGAUCUCCUUGAUAGACCGUAUUGUAUUCUUUGUUCGCAGGUUAAGCACCGUUCCACUACCACCAGUUCCUCCUCUGCCGCCGCCAACUCCUCCUCUCCCACCGCCAGACCUUGACCAUGAUCCCAUAUUCUCCACCAGACGGGAACGCAAGUCUGGGAUUCUUCUUCGAAAAGAUGAAGGCAACCAGGAACAAAAACCCUAACCCUAGAAGAUGGAAAGAUUUGAGUUUGGGUUUUUUUUUAUCUUUGUACUGUGUGACAUGUAACUAAGGAAGUACAUGUGAUGAUUGGAAUCCCCAAAAUCAAAGGACCGCGCUUUACUUGGUUAAAUUUCAAUCAGCCUCCUUUAGUUUAAAUAUUUCUCUCCCUAGAAAUUACAACUUACAAUAAACUCUAUAUUAUUUUACUUUACCAUAACCCAAAUCUUAGUAAAAAUUAGAUGAAAAUUACAUUACCGAAAUUAAAACCUAAAAUCGUCAACAAAUUUGAUAGUUAUUGUGACCAGUUUAAAAAAAUAUAAACACCGAAGUAGAUUAAUUAACAUUAGGUUAAUUAAUGACAUGAUAAUUGUUUUCUCUAACAUUAUUUAGUCUUGCAUAAUAUUGUAUUUGACAAGGUUAUGUUAGCAAUUGUUUCAAUGAAAGUUUAUUGGAUUAAUUAUAAAUGAGGCCCAGAAAGAUAAUGAUGGAUCGAAAUGUAUUAGUCUCAGUAAAUAGCUAAAUACAAUGUAAUAGGCUGAUAAACAAAUAAAACCUAAAUAUAAAUAUUAUAAAUACUUGAACAUACCAAUGUAAUAUAUUUUAAUUAAUGAGAUUAAAACGUUUUAACCUAAGAGUAUCAAUCUUAAUGACAGAGAGGCUAUAUUAAUAGCUAGAAGGUUGAGUUAUUCUUAUUGCCCCUAAAAACUAGGUCGACGGAGAAAUGAGCGUUAACGAUCUUCGAUCGGUCUUCUCUAGUUAAUCGCCGUCAUUCGACAGUUCUGCGGGUGCUUUUCUUUAAGGAGUGUUUGAGUAACGGGGUGUCAGUAGAGAGGCUAAGGAGGGAGCAACACAUCGGGAAACGUGAUUUUACUAUCGUUGGAAUUAAUUUACCUUUUCUAGUUACGAUGAACGCAAGGGAUCAAGCUUAUACAUGGGUUUCAAUCGCUAAUCACAGACCAAUAAGGAACUUGAGCUUCAUCCAACCUACACUCAUCAACAACCAACCUCAUGCGAGAAUUGAAAAAUCACAACUGGAGGAGGUUACGAAGAAAUUUACAAUUUUACUGAGGGUGGUAGGAAUAAAUCCUUCGCUUGCCAAACUGAAAGAUUUCAUAACAAAGAAGUAGGGACUGAAAGAGACUAGAGAUUACAAAGUGGUGAUACUGGAAGGGAUCGGGUUUAAAGUUACGGUUCAGAAUGAAAGAAAUUUUGAAAAAGUUCUUAGGAAGGAGUGGCUCUGGAUGGAAUCGGGGAUUAUGUUGGCUCAAGAAUGGAAACCAUCACUAGAUUUUAGGAAUGAGUCUUUAUCGACAAUCCCGAUUUGGGCUACUCUAUCUGCUCUGAAUGAGAAAUUCUGGAAUGCGGGAAUCAUCGUAAGAAUUGCUAGCACCCUAGGCACACCUCUAAAUGGCAGAUUUGCGAUCAAAGAUGAUCAGACGAUUGUCCAACUAGUGGUGGUAGUGGAUGUUGCCUUUAAAUUUUCCGGAAGUACGAAAAUAAUAAUAGAUGGACAGAACGGUCAAGUGACGGAGGAAAUUGCUAUGUUCACCUUGAACUCUAAACUGCGUUUAGUAAAAUCUUCUACCAAGUUAUGGCUACAGGGGCAGACUUCAUUGAAAAACCAAAUCGAAUCUAUAAGGAAAUCAAUAGGGGUGAAUGUGUUGAGUUUAACGGAAGAUCCAGAUAAUCACGAGUUACAACAAAAGUUGGUUGAAGAAAAAUUAAUACUUCGGGAUCUGCUUGAAAGGGAGGAACUGGAGCAUAGGCAAUGUUCAAGAGUGAAUUGGCUGAAGUUGGGUGACUCUAACACUCGAUUUUUUAGCCAAAAAACCAAGGACCGAAGGGAAUUCUAUGUUGUGUGGCGAGACAUGCCUGAUUACGUCAGUCACUCUCAGCAACGCCCUUCAACAAGGACUAGGGUUCCGUCGCUUUAUACCGGACCCCCGGAGACUUCCACGGUGCGGAGCAAGUGUCUACGUCAAGUACUCAAGACAACACCUGGGAAUCGCCGACUGGGACUACCAAGUCGCCGAUUCCAGGGGUGCACCGCCGACUCCAGACAGGGCACUCGGGUCUGGUAGACCGAGGACCUGACCACAAGGGAGUCGGCGACUCCACCUCUGAAUCGACGACUCCCGUACCUGAGUCGCCGAUUCCCAGCCGUUACUUGAGAGGGCUCACAUCAUUAUAGCACCCUUAAUUGGGUACCAUAAUGGAGUGGGUCCCACGCUAAUGAAUGGGGAAACGCCCUCAGGACCCUAUAAAAGGGGUCCUUGGGGGUCCUCCACUCCCAGGUCAUUCCCACUUGACAGACCCCAACCAGAGCAAACCAAGGAGCCCGAGUCGCCGACUCCCCUCCACUUCUGCAGGUACAUUGACGUAGAGCGCGCGUCGUGGACUCCAAAACCUCCGACCCUCCUCGCAACCCCGCGAGUCUACUGGUAGCAGAUUUCGUGCUUCGUCAACUGGCGUCAUCUGUGGGACUAUCGAACUACGAUAUCCCGUCGUAAUCGCGAAAUUUUUUUCGCAGAGUUCGGCUCGAUUCCCUUCCGGUGAAUCACUGACUUUGUGUCAAGGAAUCGUCGAUUCAUACAGGCAACCGCCGACUCCACCUAGUGAGUCGCUGAUUGCGGGUUAUUCUGCUAGCUAAGAGUGUUGUCCAUGGCUUGGUUCAAAAAAGGCCAUAAGUUGAAUCGCCGAUUCCACAUAGGGAGUCGCUGAUUGCUUUAGCUUUUUGAGCAAGUGCUGUCAAUGCCUUUUGCUCUGGUACUUUCACUUUCAUAUAGGUUGGAUUAAUUUUUCAUAGAAAAUCGCCUAUCCUUAUCUGAAUCGUCGAUUCCCAACUGAAUCGAUGAUUCCCACACUGAAUCGACGAUUCCCAACUGAAUCGCCGACUCCCACGCUGAGUAGGCGAUUCCCACACUUAAAUUGUCGAUUCGGUCAUCGUCUUCAUUCAUCGCUUUGGCUGAAUAAGACCACUCAUUUAUCGUCUUCAUUCAUCGCUUUGGCUGAAUAAGACCACUCAUAGCCCAGCUCUUUGACCGACGAAAAUCUAUCGCUUUGGCGGGAUUCGCCUCGUCGUUUCAGUAUCUUGACGUAAUCAACCCCCUAUGCACCACUGUCGGCACAUGAGGUGCCCUUAUCACUCCCACCAAAUGGAGGAGUGAACCUAACUCCUGCGUUAGAAGAGAGGUUGAUUAACUUUAUGGAUUCCAUAGAAAAAAGAGUUAGCAACCUCGAGAAAGCGAGGUGAUGAAGCACGGAAUCUGUUACCAGUGGGCUCGCGGGGUGGCGAGAUGAGCCGGAGGCUGUGGAGUCCACGACGCGCGCUCUACGUCAAACAUCUGCAGAAGAGGAGGGGAAUCGGCGACUCACGUGGGAGUAAGCGAUUCGGGCUCCUUGGAUGCUCUAGUGUGGAGUGUGUCAAGAGAAGAUGAGUUGAGGGUAGAGGUCCCCCAAGGACCCCUUUUAUAGGGUCUUGGGGAACGUUUUCCCCAUUCAUUUGUGUGGGGCCCACGCCAUUAAGGUACCCUAUUAAGGAAUGCCUUAAUGGCGAGGGUCCGCUCAAGUAACGGCUGGGAGUCGGCGAUUCAGGUAUGGGAAUCGCCGAUCCAGAGGUUCAAUCGCCGACUCCCCAUGAGCCUAGUGGCAGCCUACCAGAGCUGUCCACGAGGCCUAGAGUUAGCGAUUCCCCCCUGGAGUCGGCGACUUGGUAGUCCCAAUCGGCGACUCCCAAGUGUUAGCUUGAGCUCUUGACGUAGACACGUGCUCCGCACCGUGGAAGCCUUUCCGGGGGUCCGGCAUAUAGUGACGGAACCCUAUUCCUUGUUUGAAGGGCGUUGCUGAGAGUGACUGACGUAAUCAGGCAUGUCUCACCAGUACUCCCCCCUGAAGAGAGUAUGGCUGAACACCCGUGUACCGCCACGAGGAGCAACAAAACCAUCAUCCGCGAAGGAGCGGGUGAAUCUGGGUCUUACUAUUCUCCAUCUGCGGAGAAAAAGAAGAAAUCUCCAAUGCCUCCUAUAGCAAAGGCUGGACCUAGCAAGAGUCGCACUGACAAGACUCUUACAACACGGUUCGUGGAAGAUCUCCGUCGGAGGCUGGCCGACAAUCCGGUCGCCAGCAGUCCGAUCGAGUUUUUGAGAAUCAAAAGCGCUCCUUUUCACAAGGACCUUUUGAAAGAAUCUUUUCCACCAACCUGGCGGGUACCCAAGAUAGAAGCGUAUGACGGUUCGAGUGAUCCAAAAGAUCACAUCAACCACUACUUUAGUGUCUUGGAACCGCAGACCACCGAUAACGGACUGUUGUGUCGGGCAUUCCCCGACAUUCUCAAAGGCAACGCUUAUUGGUGGUUCUCUGGUCUGCCAGCUGGCUCGGUCUCCAGCUUCGCGGACCUCUCUUCGAAGUUCAUCGCCCAACAUGUGGGGAUGAUCAGAAUAAAACAAAGUGCCAACGCACUGCUGGCAUUACGACAGAAUAAACUGUCUCUGAGGGAUUACACGAUUAAGUUCACUUCGAUGAUGACAGAAGUGAACGACCUAAUCCCGAGUCUGGCCAUAGCGGGGUACAUGAAUGGGCUUGGGCUGGUACCCUACUUCCCUUUGGCCCAGAAUCUUACACUCCAUAAACCCUGCCCGACCUCUUCCAACGAGCUCAAUCGUUCAUUGAGAUAGAAGAGGAAAACAAUAAAAAGCUGGACGGAUUCGAGCCGCCCAUGCCAGCCGGAAAAAAUGUCGUUAUGCUAAAGAAGAUAAAUACGAGGAUACAAGUUUCCAGUCUGAAACCUCGACUAGUCCUCCUCGAUACAGAGAGGAGUUUCUCAUCAGCAGUUAUGACCACCAAAGUCAUAACUCAUACUCUCAGUCUGGUAACAGUUAUGGUCACGAAAGUCAUAGCUCACACUCUUGGCCCAGUAAUAGUUAUGGUCAACAAAGCCAUAGCUCACGCUCUCAAUCCUAUGACAGUGAUGGCAACCAAAGUCACAGUUCACACUCGCAAUCAAGUGCAUCACGCUAGUAGUGAGGAACUAUCAUCUGUUAGAAGAUAGGAUUGGCCAGAGUAACCAUGCAGGCUAUAUAUGCUUCUAUCACUGGCAACCAGCGACCAAAACAUGUUGAUUCUUCUGUUUGUCGCUCUCAUGUAUUCUCAAUAGUGAUAUUAUUCUAAAUAAAUCUCUCUUUAAUCAAUAGGGAUAUGUAUUCAAUAUUAUAUUUAGAAUAAUCAUCCAUCGCUUCAGACGGAUCAAUCAUCCAUCGCUUCGGCUGGAUGAUACCCGUUUCUCAGACCUACGACCCACAAGUCUAAGUGAUGGUUACAAAAUCCAAUUUACGUUCAGAGAAGCUAAAUUACGAUCACAAGUCUAGUUUACGAUUUAUGAGUCCAAAGUACGACUUAAGAAUCUAAAUCGGACUCUCAUUUACGAACCUAACCCCAAGAGGUUCUAAGUACCCACAACACAUACGAAGAUCUAUUCUGUCGCUAUGGCCUUAAUAGAUAAAAAAUCAUUUUAUCGCUAUACGAUUCAACCCCAUCUUAUCGUUAUGGCCUCGAUAAGGGUAAAAAGUUACUCUGUCGCUUCGGUCAGAGUUCAACUACACAUUAUGGAAUGAAAUCUAGAGUCUUAGGUUCUCAAAAAAAUUUAAGUCAUAUUCCCGAUAAUUUCUGUAUCUCCAACUUAUUACGUCACUUAGCUUUGCGAGUCUUGAUUAGUUGUGAAGUUUAAUUUAUUUCGCGAGUUUAGCCGUAGACUGAGCUACGAUUCGUACGACCAAGUCUACGUCCAGAGUGGCUAGCAAUAGGGUUAGCAGAGUCUAAUUUACGUCCAGAGUGACUAGAUUACGACUUGUGAAUCUAGUUUCGGGUCUUAGUUACAAUUCAAAAAAUAAAAUAAAUAAACAAUUAAUCAAGAAAGCAAAAUAAUUGAUUAAAUUGAGUUCCAAAAAUAUCAAAAAAAAUUCAUAGAGAGUAUCACAAGCUCUCUCCGACACUUAUGUCGCUUCGGCAAAAAGUCGUCACGUUUCAAGAGGGAGUAUCACAAACUCUCUUCGACACUUCAGUUGUUUCGGCCAGAAGUCGUCACAUUUCAAGAGGGAGUAUCACAAGCUCUCUCCGGCAUCAGGGUUCAAACUUAAGUUGUAAUUGAAAAUUACAAACGUAACCCUCGAGUUUAAAAUAUUUGCAUCCUUCAGAUUUGUCAUUCGCGCUAUCUUUUACAACUCUACGUUAAUCUGGAGGUAUAAAUUAUCCGCAAAUUUAACCGUAGGCUGAGCUACGAUUCGUACGACCAAGUCUCGUCCAGAGUGACUAGCAAUAGGUUUAGCAGAGUCUAAUUUACGUCCAGAGUGGCUAAAUUACGACUUGUGAAUCUAGUUUCGGACCUUAGUUACAAUUUAAAGGAUAAUUUAUAUGAAAGAUUAGCAAAGAAAAAACAAAAGAUAGCCCAUUGACAAUCACAAUUAAAUAUUUCGGAAAACUACUCAUUCCAAAAGUUAUGUGUCACAAUGACACGAUUUUUGAGGGGGAAUAUCACAAACUCUCCCGACACUUCUGUCAUUUCGGACAGAAGUCGUCACAUUUCGAGGGAGAGUAUCACAAACUCUCCCGACACUUCUGUCAUUUCAGACAGAAGUCGUCACAUUUCGAGGGAGCGUAUCACAAACUCUCCCGACACUUCUGUCACUUCGGACAGAAGUCGUCACAUUUCGAGGGGGUAUCAUAAACUCUCCUGAUACUUCUGUUACUUCGGACAGAAGUCGUCACAUUGUGAGGGGGAGUAUCACGAGCUCCCCCGACGCUUCUGUCGCUUCGGACAGAAGUCGUCACAUUUCGAGGGAGAGUAUCACAAACUCUCCCGACACUUCUGUCAUUUCAGACAGAAGUCGUCACAUUUCGAGGGAGCGUAUCACAAACUCUCCCGACACUUCUGUCACUUCGGACAGAAGUCGUCACAUUUCGAGGGGGUAUCAUAAACUCUCCUGAUACUUCUGUUACUUCGGACAGAAGUCGUCACAUUGUGAGGGGGAGUAUCACGAGCUCCCCCGACGCUUCUGUCGCUUCGGACAGAAGUCGUCACAUUUCGAGGGAGAGUAUCACAAACUCUCCCGACACUUCUGUCAUUUCAGACAGAAGUCGUCACAUUUCGAGGGAGCGUAUCACAAACUCUCCCGACACUUCUGUCACUUCGGACAGAAGUCGUCACAUUUCGAGGGAGCGUAUCACAAACUCUCCCGACACUUCUGUCACUUCGGACAGAAGUCGUCACAUUUCGAGGGAGCGUAUCACAAACUCUCCCGACACUUCUGUCACUUCGGACAGAAGUCGUCACAUUUCGAGAGAGAGUAUCACAAACUCUCCCGACACUUCUGUCACUUCGGACAGAAGUCGUCACAUUUCGAGGGGGGUAUCACAAACUCUCUUGAUACUUCUGUUACUUCGGACAGAAGUCGUCACAUUGUGAGGGGGAAUAUAUAUCACGAGCUCUCCCGACGCUUCUAUCGCUUCGGCCAGAAGUCGUCACAUUUCGAGGGGGAGUAUCACGAGCUCUCCCGAUGCUUCUGUCGCUUCGGCCAGAAGUCGUCACAUUUCGAGGGGGAGUAUCACGAGCUCUCCCGACACUUCUGUCGCUUCGGCUAGAAGUCGUCAAAUUUCGGGGGGAGUAUCACAAACUCUCCCGACACUUCUGUCGCUUCGACCAGAAGUCAUCAAAAAUUGAGCACGGUAAGAUCUGUCGCUUCGGCCAGAUUUACCAAGGAUCAAUUUGAGCAAAGGAGAGGCAUCAAGGAAGGUAAAAUCGCACGGUAAGUUCAAUAAGUAAAUAAAAUAUGCGUUUUGGACUGAUCUAGUUGUUUUGCAUGAUGUUUUCUUUUUUGCAGGAAAGGUUCUAAUAGUGAACCAAACUUUGAUAGUGAGUCAAUCUAUUUUGUCGCUUUGGCCUUAAUAGAUCCAGGUCCACUUUGUCGUUUUGGCCUUAAUGGACCAAGAAUUAUGUUGUCGCUUUGGCCUCAAUAAUUCUUCUAUCUCGUCGCUUUGGCCUUGAUAAACUUGGAGAUUAUUUCGUCGCUUUGGCCUUAAUGAUCUCGACCCAUCUUGUCGCUUUGGCCUAUGGGGUAAUCGUCGUUGCGGACGUAAAGUCGCUCUUGAUCAGGGUGGACUAUAAACAUCAGUUCUGAUAGUGAAUCCACGCAUUCUGUCGUUUCGGCCAGAAACAGAUUCUGAUAGUGAAUCCACGCAUUCUGUCGCUUCGGCCAGAAUCCACAGCAAAAGUCGCUCCUGAUCAGAGUAAGACUAUAAAUACGUAGUUCCGUUGGCCUGAAACUAGAUUCUGAUAGUGAAUCAAUCCAUCUUAUAGUGCAUGGAUCACGCGGAGUCAUUGUGUCGCUGUGAACGCAAUGACUCGAUCUCAUCUUGUCGCUUUGGCUUUGAUGCGAAUCACCUUGCUUGGGGGGGAUACUGGCGGUACGGUACACGCAUGUUUCUUGUGCUCUCUUCAGGGGGGGUACUGGUGAGACAUGCCUGAUUACGCCAGUCACUCCCAGCAACGCCCUUCAACAAGGACUAGGGUUCCGUCGCUCUAUGCCGGACCCCAAAGGGAGAGAGUUGACGGAUAUUCAAACCCACCCCAAAGAUUCCCCGAUCUGGUCUAGCAUUCUGAGAGCCAAAGAGGAUAUCAAAUUAUGCUAUUCUGCAGAGCUGGAUCGCUCAGUCAGCGGAAGUAUAAAAUCGAGUCUUAUAAGAGCAAAAUUAUAUCACCGACAACCGUCUCUGAUCCUCUGGCCGUAGGAGUGUGGACAUGCCGUACCUCAAAGAUGGCCUUAUGCUUAUGGAGAUUGAGAUGGGGUAAUCUAAGAACAUUCGAUAAAUUGAGGAUUGGGGGAUAUAGUGCGUGGUAUCAGCAAAGUGUGUCCUUUGUGAUGCAACUGAGGAAACGACAGCCCAUCUAUUCUUCAAUUGCGAUUUUAGGUGGACUCUUUGGAAUAAAUUUACAAGUUUGACAGAUUAUGCUUUAUGGAAAAUUAUGGGUAUCACAGCGAUAAAGCAAGGAGAUAUAAGAGUGAGUGAUAUCAUGGAAGGGAUAUCCAAAUUCAGGAAGUCAGCACCAUGCUGUAGACUACAUUGGAAUGCACUUGCAAUAUUUAUAUGACAUCUUUGGAGGGAAAGAAACCUACGACAUAAGGAGAGACUCUCUCGGCCGGUUAAAGUCGUCGCAAGGGAUUUCAUACGAGAUUUGACUAUCAUUUAUGACUACCGCUUAUUUUAAAAAGCGCACAGGUUAAAUUUGGAAGAUACAACUAAUAGAAGGUGGGAGGAAGCCUCGCUAUUGGUUACUGACCUACAAGCCGAGAAUUAACAAGCUAUACUUAUUUCACACAUCUUAUCGUAUUUUUAGUUGUUUAUUUAAUUGUCUUUUUUUUAUUAUAGUUUGUAAUCUAAAUCGUCCCCAUUUUCUACAUUUACAUUUCAGUUGACUUUAACUUUUGCCAGCCAAGCCAGUAUAAGUAAAUAUAUUCUUGAGUUUAUCUCUGCAUGGAUAUAUAAAGUUUUCUGUAACCUUUUAGACAAACAUCCAAUGAUUAAAACAACGUGAAUCGUGAUAAUCAUAUGUCGUCAUUUCAUGCUUCGGAAGAUGAAGUUUCAGUAGCAUUAUCUCCGGCAAUGAGCGCGGUGGAUUUUGAGCAUAUUCGUUCCACGUCAUACCUUAUUAUAUCAAAGUUGGUGACUGCAUUAACUCCACGGAAUUUGAUUGCAGCAAUGUCGUAUGCUUCUGCAGCUUCCUCCUGUGUACCUUCAUUCAUCAAGAUUGCAAAUUGUUUCAUAUAGAUUUGAUAUAGAUUCGUAGAAAGUGGGCAAAUGUAUUAUGCUCACUGAAUGUUCCAAGGUACAAAUCUCUGUUACCAGCAACUCUACCUAUCCGAGCUUGCCAUCUUCCAUGUUGGUGAUGUCUAUGGACAAUUGAAGAUUUGAAGCAUACAGAAUUACAAAUGAUAAUCCACUAAAGAAAUUUUUGCAUACCUUGUCACUCCUCUAUAUGCAGAAGCUCCUCUAGAAAAUCCGCUACUUCUCCUGUAAAAAUAUAUAGGGAAGAAAUUAAUAAUGUGAAUUAUAAUUGCAUAUCUGAUUAAUAUAUAUAUGAAACCCUGAUCAAAUUUUUACAGUAAGUACCUUCUCAAGUUUGCCACAAAUUCUUGUCUGCUUAAAUUCUUCAUCUCUACAAGUUCUUUCUCAUAAGUUGAGAUCUAUAUUAAUCAAUACAGGAUGCAAAUUAAAGAAUGAAACAUUACAGUAUCACAUCAUUCGAUAAAAAUUAAUCAAGCAUAGCUUGAUUUUGGAAUUUUAAAGAUGCAAUUAAUUAAUUUUCAUACUGGAAAAUUAACAAAACUGGUUGGACCCCAAUAUUUGAGAGCAGCUAAAUCAUAUGACCUUGCAGCUUUUUCUUCCUUAUCAUAUCCUCCUGAUCGAAAUUUGCAGAUUCAAAUUCAUAAUAACUAUAAAAAUCCAAGUACAAACUUAGAUGUUAAAAUUAAUUAAAGAUCGAACUGAACCAACCUAGGUAGACUGCUUGGAUUUCCAUUAGAAUUGUAUCAUCCAAUUAAUCAAACAUUCGUGCAUGGAAAUUAAACAAUUUUUUGAACAAUUAUGUUAAAUAAAGUUACUAUAUAUCCAUAUCAUAUAUAAUAAUCAUUGAAUUAAUUGAAUGAUAAUUACCUUGCCUUCCUUUCCUUGUUUGGCCUUCUUUUCUACAACUGUUAUCCCACAGAUGUGCUUCAUAUCUACCAGUCCAUCUAUGCCUGGAAAAAAAAGAAACUAGUGAUCCAUCCUGCCAGCCAGCUCUUCUAUAUAUAUCAUGAUAUAAUUCAUGCAUGUACUGAUGUACAUACCUAGUAACUCCCCUAUAUUGUGAUGUUCUCUGGCCAAAAUUGUCGUUUGAUUUAAAUGAAACCAUUUUCUUUGACCGUUUAGGAUCGUCAUCAGACGUCUGCAUAGAACUUGAUGGAUCCAUGGACUGUGUUAGUGGACUGAAAUUAGUAAUAGUAUGGUUCUCUGACCAAUUAAAAUUCAGAACUACAGAACUAGGGUUUUGCUGAAGUGGUGAAACGACUUCAUUAUUAUAAACAUCGUUAUGGAAAUCAUUCUCUUGCAGAUCAGAUUGUAUGCGUUCAUAGUCUUCCACCAGAGGGAAGGUGAUCAGAUUAUUGUUUCUGUUAUAGAUCUCUUGAUCUGAAGAAACAGGUAUAAAGUAGUUGUAUUGUUGCUCCAUGGAAUUAUGAUUAUUUUCUGCUUUGUACAAACUCAGGAAGUUUUGAUCCCUUCUACCUUCAACACUGCCUGUACUGGCUGUACUUGAGAUAAUAUUGUUGGAAACGUCAAUUGUGUUCCUGUGCAUCCAAUCUGUGCAUGUGCAAGUAAUAUAUAUACACACAAAGAUCUAACUUAAAAAGUUGAGAGCAAAUUUAAAUUUAAUCAUACCUUCAGUGCCAGAUCCAUAGUUUGCCAUGAAAAGGGAACUUUCUGGCAAUCGGAGAAGAGAAGGAAAAACCACGGGAACAUCACCACUUUUUCUUCUACAAUCUUCUUCUUUCUCAGAUCCAUCAACGCAUGAUGCUUUCUCUCGGAUACUGUGUAAUAUUGGGUCGUGGUGAUGUUGGGUGGAAGAAAGGGAGAAACCAACGACGGGACACCCGCCCUUAUCCAUUGCUCAACUCUUCACACAUGGAAAUAACUACAUACAAAAAGGCAUGCACCAUACCAAUUAACAGUCAAUUCAAUAAAUCCCAAGAUAAUAUUUUAAAUAUGUACAUCUUUCGAGAUGACGAAGAAGAAAAGGAAACAAAAAAAGAAAAUGGGGGGGGGGGGUCAAUAUUUUAGUUUUGGGAUUUUUUGUCAAAAGUUCUUUGGCAUCUUUUUGAUCAUUUAAUAUCAUAUAUCUGCACUUCUAUAAAUCAUUUAUGUAAAUUGGUCAUUAAUAGAUCUGGAGGAGGGAUAAGAUGAACAGUCUGAAAAUAAAUCUUUGAAAAUGAAAAGAAGAGUUUUACAUUUUUAUGAUUGGGCAUCCUGCCAAAUCAUAAAUCAAAACAAAAUGGAUCUUCAUGGCUAUUGUGAUUCAGAUUGGGCAUCCUGCCAAAUCAGCAGAAAAUCACUAACAGGAUACUGUAUGUUCUUAGGAACAUCAGUAAUUUUAUGGAAAUCCAAGAAACAGGACACUGUCUCUCUAUCAUCAUGUGAAGCUGAGUAUAGAGCCAUAAGUAAAGCACAAUAUUUACUACCGACACAAGGGCUUCUAUCGUAUGGGUUUGUUUGAGGAGCGACCUAUGAGUUUGUUUGAGAAACGCCGUACGUGUUUGUAUGAAGAGCAUCCUAUGAGUUUUCAAAAAUUAUAAAAAAUAUUCAUUACUCAACCACUUACGUACAUGAUUUAAAGUUUGACAACCACACUGACAUAAAUUAAUACAUUUUUUCUAAAAUUCCCUGAUAUAUAUGCUUUUACACAUAAGUAAUACAUGUCGUACAUAAUUAUGGACUGAUGCAUAAUAUUAGUAUGUCAGUUAAUUAAUUUCAACGGUCGGAAUACAUCCAAAAAGAUCCAACGACGCAUACUAAAUGAUGUAUACAACGCUUUGAAAUGCGACACACCAGAUGUGUGCCUCUAUAUUUAUAUACUUAUUUGAAUUCGUGUAGGAUUAUCGCUUAAACGAAUUCAAUUUCGAAUUCGAAUACAAAUUUCGAAUAUCUAUAUAUUGACAAACCUAUAAUAUUCAUUAUCCAUUUACUAAACGAUUGUAAAUAGUAAUUUGGAAUAUUCAACAUCAGGCUAAGGAGGGUGACUGUCUAUUCUAAAGGACCGACCCAUCAGGACAUCUAUAUGUUUACAACUGUCCCCAAUAUCUUCAAGUAGUUGUCGACAAUCUAGCUAAGGUGGUAGGGAUUGAAGAGACAUUGCUCAUUGUAAGCAAUAAUGGGUUUUUUCUUCUUCCAGAAAUGGAUGUUAUCGUCAAGAGAAUCAGAUUAUUCUACCAAGUUAAACAAAUCUAUGCUCCCUUCUCUCCACAUUUAAUUAUUUCCCAACAGCUUUCUUGGUGUUUCUCUUGGUGAUCGUGAAGGCAAAGACGAAGGAGUUGUAACCUGGUGAUUAGGGGAAUUUUCAGGUGUGUCAUUUGUUGGUGUACCGAAAAUGCGUCAUUUGUUGUACGCCGUUGGAUUUAAUGUUGACAAAAAAUGAUGGUUUGGAUUUAAUUAUACGUCCACAAUUAUAUCAUGUACAAUGCGGGGUGGAAUCUCGAGAUUUUACAACAGCUGUACAAUAUUGAAUAGAAAAUAUUAUAUUUACAUGUUGUGCAAACUAACUACAUUAUCCUACUUACACCUAUAUUAUAUUCUUCAUAAUCUUUUAUACCUAGCUUAAUUAAUGUUCUUGACUACUCUUUAUUAACACAUUACUGUUCCUGAUUGAUGUACACGGUUACAUUAAUGAAAAACCAGCUAUACACCUUACCAUAAUAUAACAUAAUCAUCACUUCCCUUUUCUUCCCAUAACCAUCCCUUCCCACUACAAAAAAAAGUAGACAGUAGGACGAGCAAAGUUAACGGAAUUUCCGUUACAAAUACCUAAAUCCGUUACAAAUACUCUCAAGUUAAAGUUAACGGAACGGAAAAUCCGUUACAAAAAUUUAAAGUAUUUGUAAAGGAAAUUCCGUUACAAAUGAUAUUUUUCAAUCCACCGGAAUUAUUAGAAUCAUCACCGGCCAAUUUCCAAAAGAGAAUCAACGACUUGGGGGCUGAUCUGAGUAGGCUCAAUAUAGGGAAUACCCUCCUAACCCUGGGAACCGGGGCCUGGCCGGAAGAGCGGAUCGAGAUCCAUUCUAUGACUCAGGCUUAAAGUCUACUACGUACCCUACCGGCUCGGUAGUGAAAAUAUCAUUUGUAAUGGAAUUUCCGUUAAUUUUUUUUUUUUGUAAAAAAAAUUCCAGUCAAUACAUUUUUCCUAUAAAUUGAAUGCAAAAUCCUGUAAAAUCAUUGCAAAUUCCUGUAAAUUCAUUCAAUUAAUAUUAAUUCCUGUAAAUUUAUUCAAUAUUCAACAAAUAUUCAAUACAAAAACAAUAUUCAACAAAUACAACAUUCAACAAAACUAACAUUCAACAAAACUAGCAUUCAACAAAAAUAACAUGGAAGACCUAUUUGGAUGGAGGAGUUUGAUAUCUUUGAUCGCUCUGACCUGCAUUAAUACUUUUAUCUUGCAACGAUCCACGAUCUGAAGGUUGUGAAAUUGUAUUUGAUUGGGAUAAAACUGUUUUCUUCAGGUCUUCAAACAUUUCAUCAUAUUUCCUUUUUAAAAUUCGAUUAUCCUGUAAAACAUUUAAGACUCAUUGAUAUUUAUGUAUUACUUUAAAAUUUUGACUAUCAUACACAUACCUCUAUUAACUUCUCCAUUUGAUCGUUCAUUUUUUUCUUUUUUUUUCUCAAUAAAUCUUGCAUUCAUUUCAAUUGAAAAUCUGGUAGAAGCAGUUCAAAAAAAUUCUUUUCUUAAUGCUUUCUUUGGAAGUUCGUUCAACUGAAAUUUGAUUAUACUUCAACAAAUCAAUUCUUGAAUAUAAUUUGAAAGUAAAACUAAUUAUAUUUUUGAAAGUAUAUAAUUUUACCUCUUUUAGUAUAUCCUCACCGGAUCUAAUUGGAGGUGCUGUAUCCAAUUCAAUUUUAUUAUUGAACUUUGAUUUUUCUUUUCUAUAUAGAUGUGAAGGAUCCAGAAAACGACGAUGUCCCAUAAAACAUGUCUUUUGACUCCCUUUCAAAUACAAACUACAUGUAUUGUUCAAACAUACACCACAUGCCACUUUUCCUUUUGUACUCCAUCCAGAUAAGUUUCCAUAUGCUGGAUAUAGUCAUUGAUUGUCCAUAGCAGAGCCGCUCGCAUUAUAAAAGUUUCUUUUUUCACUGAGUCAUAAGUUUGAACACCAUCAUUCCAUAAUAACUUUAACUCGUCUAUUAGUGGUUAUAAAUAUACAUCAAUAUCAUUGUCUGGUUGUUCUGGACCUGGAAUCACUAAUGAUAGAAUCAUAUUUGAUUGUUUCAUGCACAACCAUGGUGGCAUGUUGUAUGGGAUAAGAACAACUGGACAUGUGCUAUGUGAUAAUGUCAUUGAACCAUAGAGAUUAAAUCCAUCUGAUGCCAACCCUAGUCUAAUAUUUCGAGGUUGUAUAGCAAAUUCUGAAUUGACACCAUUUAACACUUUUCAUUGUUCCGUAUAUGCUGGAUGACGAAGUACGUCAUCUCUCAAACGAUGAUCUUCAUGCCAUGUCAUAUCAGUACACACCUAGUUCGAAUAAAUUAAAAUAUUUUAGAAUGUGAUUGAUUGACAAGUAUUUGACACAUAAGAAAUCAACAACAUGUAUAUACCUUACUACACAUAUACAAUCUCUUAAGUCUUGGAACCAAGGGGAAGUGUCUCAAAACUUUAAUAGGAAUACGUUUCCCAUUCGCUUUUCUUUCGACCUUCCAUCUUGGCUUAUUGCAUCGUAUACAAGUUUCUGAAUUUUCAAAUUCUUUUCGAUAAAGAAUGCAAUUAUUUGGACAUGCAUCGAUCUUCACGUAGUUCAAUCCAAGAUCUCUAAGGUAUGAUUUUGCUCCAUGCAUUAUUUUAUGAAUUGAAGUAUCACCCGAAAGAAUAACAUCUCGUAAGAAUUCCAACAACAUCUCAAAGAAUUUGUUAGAAACCCCAUUCAAGCAUUUUAGAUGGUAUAAGUGGAGAAUAGCAGAUAAUUUAGUGUAUUUCGUACAACCAGGAUAUAAUUGUUCAUUAGCAUCUCUUAACCGGCGGUUGAAUUUUGGAUCAUCAAUCGGAGUAUUUAUCGGAUCAUUGAUCGGAGUAUCUAUCGGAUCAUUGAUCGGAGUAUCUAUCGGAUCAUUGAUCGGAGUAUCUAGGAUCAUCAAUCGGAGUAUUUAUCGGAUCAUUGAUCGGAGUAUCUAUCGGAUCAUUGAUCGGAGUAUCUAUCGGAUCAUUGAUCGGAGUAUCUAUCGGAUCAUUGAUCGGAGUAUCUAUCGGAUCAAUGAUCGGAGUAGCUAUCGGAUCAUUGAUCGGAGAACCUAUCGGAUCAAUGAUCGGAGUAACUAUCGGAUCAUUGAUCAGAGUGUUUGCGAGAUCAUUGAUAGAAGCCAUUAUUGGAUCAUUGAUCGGACCAUCGAUCGGAGUAUUUGUGGGAUCAUUGUUCAAAUUAUCCGGAUGAUUGAUUGGAGAAAUAAUUCGAUCGUCUAUCACAAUAUAUAUUAGUCAUUGCUUCAUCAAUCAGAUUAGCAAGUGGAUAAAUAGUUGGAUCAACCAUUGCUUCAUUUGCUAAAAGGAUCGUCUCAUUUUCUACUAUCAUAGGAGGUGCAGUAGAAACUGUUAUUUCACGUCUCUUGCGUUUCAAUGCUUUUUUAUGUGCUCUCGAACCUGGAAUUAAUUCUCCAUGCAUAUACCAUGUCUUAUAUCUAUAUGCACUGUCAAAACUAAAGAGUAUGACAUGCUCACUAAUGGUCUUACGAUUAUAAUAUUUGCCAUUGUGACACUUUGAACAAGGACAUGGUAGUUUUAAUCCAGGUUCCAUCUUGUGGUUUGAAUAGAUUUCAGCAAAAUCUAAAAAACUUUUCAAUCCACUUUGAAAUUUCAUUAAGGUUGAACUUUCAAACAACCAUGAUUUGUCAAACCCUUCUAUUUGAUCAACCAUUUUAGACUAUUUCCUAACAUACUGUUGGUGUGUGGGCUCGCCGGAAUAAGCUCACCGUCCAACCUAGUACAAGUGUCUCUCUAAGAAUUAUCAACCCCCUCCCCUGUUGGACCAGGGGAGGUAUUUAUAGCUUUCUGUUGUUGACCUUGGGCCCGUCGUGGACUUGUGUGUUGGGCUCGUCCCCUCGCCUGGGCCGCCGACGGGUCCUGUUCGGUCCAUGGGCCGCAGUCCGCGGUCCAUGGUACCAACAGAUACGAAAAAGAUACCUCUUAAAAAUCGAUAUUUGAAUAGAAAAAGGUCCAAACAUUUCAAGAUACCUCUUAAACCAACAUUUCUAAUUCUAAAGGUAAAAGGGCCUAAAUAUAAUAUAACAGGUUAUUCUGAAUAAUUUAACUCAAUGAUACUACAAUUAAUAUAAUUUAAAUCCUCUAAGAAAAACUCAUCCAUAAAAAUAAAAUAUCCUAUUACGAGUAAUAAAAAAAAUUAUGAAUUAAAACUAUGAAACUACUUGUGAACAUCAACAUAUUAAACUAUGAAACAAAAUCAGAAAUAUUAAAAAAACAGACAUGAAUUAAACUGACCAAAAUCCAGAAAUCUAAUCAUAACAUUUAAAAUAAAUUUUACAAAUUAUUUCAUUCAAAUUAUAAAUAGCAAUUUUAUCUUGUUCUUGGAGAGCAGUGUCUUGAUUUUCUUCAGUAAUCAAGAAUCAAUUAAUUUUUUUCAGUAAUAAAAAUGAAGAGCAUUGUCCUGAUUACAAAGAUCAAGAAAGAAAAAUAAAAAUAAGAAAUGAAAAAUGAAAAAUGAGGAAGAUACUUAGAUAAAUCAACUCUAAACCAAAACUAAACUAAACCAAAGCAUACUAAUCAACUCUAAAUCAAUUGAAAAAGAAAUUUAAAAGCUUAAAAAAAAAACUAAACCAAAACAGUCCGGUCGAAAAAUAAAUCAUCAUCGCCAACUUCCUCUAAAAGAGCUAAUUUAAUUAAUGAUGGAGAGUGGAAGAUGGCGAGUGGGAAAAAACAGACAUGCAUACUGAUAGACCAAGACGAGUACAUCAACACUAAUUUAAAAUCAUAUCCCGAUAAUCAUCAUCCAUCUCUAUUAACAAAGGAUCAAAUUUUUGACCAUAGUGUUCAUACUCAUCUAGAACCCCUGAACCUUGGAUAAUGAUCAAGAAAAUGAAUGUUGUAAAUAAUUCAAACAAAUAUGCAGAAUGCCCUAGUUUUGAGAAUUGGGUAGUGAGUGGUGUGGAUAAUGCUACUACUAACACCCUAACUCAUAUUUAGAUGAGGAUUUUAAAAAUAAAAUGACAAAACAAGCAUUGACUUUAGUGGUCUCUAAUUAUAACGACAACUGUUCUUAAGAAAGAUCUAACUUCAAUGAAUUAACCUGGUAAAUAUUAUUCAAACAAACAGCAAUGUGAACCUGAUUUGUCCUCCCUCUGAACACUAGCAUAUGCCCAAUUAACUUUGAUAGGUUGGCCAAACCUGCAAAUUAACAAGAUUAAAUGGUACACUUCAAAACUCCAAAUAACAUAGUGAAUAUUGUUUAUAAAAAGCCAUUUGAAGCAGAAUAGUAAUUAAUUGCUUAUAGAGUUACAUAUAUAUGCAUUUAAGAAGCAUGAUACUCACCAUUAAAGAGUUUUUAAGACUUUACUUGAUUUUUAAAGGUGUUAAAAUCUUUAAAUUUGUCCCUAAAGAUGUUAAAGGCAGGCUAGUAUGUUUUUUGUUGAAUGUAGUAAUCGCCAAGGGACAGAGAACAGAUGUGGUCUUUAAUUAUUGUUUAUAAUCGCCAAGGUACUAGGAUUAAAUCAUCCAUUACAGUAUUAAACCAUCUUAAACCAGCUACAAGUAUCAAAAUCAUUAAAAAACAAAAAAAAGAUACAAGUUUGCAAUACGGUAAAAGAAAAGAAAAUCACACAAAAAAAAAACACGCACACCAAAGAAAAUCAGAUGAAACUCUCGGACGACAAAAAGACUAAACUAGCUAGCACUUACCUGAACUUGCCGCAUUGGACUGGAGUGUCACGACGAACGAGAUUGGGGGGAGUUGAUCGAGAACGCCGGUGGUUGAGAAGGAGAUUGGGAGAAAGAAAUUGGAGGAAAUGAGAUUGGGGGAAAUGAAAAAAAAUGAGGGAAAUAUUAGGGAAAAUGAAAUAGGGGGAAUGAAAUAGUUAAAGGGGGAAAUGAAAAUUAUUAAAUAAUUGCUAUUUUUAACGGAAUUUCCAUUAAAAAUAGUUAAAAAUCCAUUACAAUAUAUAAGUCCAUUGGUAUUUGUAACGAAAACAACAAAGCUAACGAAAAUUUCGUUACAAAUUUCGUUAACUUUGAUAAUAAGUAUUUGUAACGAAAAUUUCGUUAACUCUGCUUCGUCCGAACUGCCUACUUUUUUUUGUAGUGUCCUCAUUAUGAAAUCUACUGGAAAUGUAUCUCGAAUGUAUUGAUGAUUAUGAUUACAUUGAUUGUAUUUAUAGAUUAACUAAUAUUAUAUUGUUAUUCAUAGUUUGUUACAAUUCAAUUAUUCACUAGUGUGUCCAAUAUACCCCCUUCCUCAAAGUUGUGGAAGUUCUCCAACGAGUUUCUUCUGAAACUUGUGAAACAGUUGUGCUGGCAAUGGUUUCGUUAGACCGUCAACCCAUUGUUCUUUUCCCGGGAUAUGUUCCACUGAAAUUUCUCCGUUUUAUGAUCCCUCCCUCACGAACUGUAAAUCUAUCACGACGUGUUUUAAUUUUACAGCGUUCGAUUGGAUUUUUGGAGAUGAAUGUUGCCCCCAUAUUGUCUGAGAGUAUCUGUAUUGGUUUUGGUGCGCUAAUGCCCAACUCGCGUAACAUUAACCGGAUUGCUUCGACUUCUUGUGUAGUUACGGCAACGACUCGAUAUUCUGCCUCCGUGAUCAACCUCGCUGAUGUACUCUGUUUCCUUGACAUCCAGGCCACCGGCGUUCCUUCAAUGAAUACUAGAAAUCCCGUUCGGCUUUUUCUGUCGACUGUGUCUCCCCCCCAAUCGGAAUUGCAGUAUGCGAUUAUAUUGAAGUCAUAUGAUUUGUGGAUUGAGAUUCCAUAUUUUUGGGUCCCCGCGAGAUAUCGUAAUACUCGUUUUACCGACCUCCCAGUGUUUCGGUUUCGGAUAAUCCAUCACCUGUGACAAGAUAUUUACCACAACUUGGACAUCUGGUCUGGUCAUAGUUAUGUAUUGUAGAGACCCCACAAUACGCCAAUAUUCCUUAGCGUUAUCAAUUGGUUUUUCAUCUGAGAAGAUAUCGAACCUUGCAGUCAUCGGUGUUUCAGUUAGUUUUGUGUUUUCCAUUUCACAACUUUUUAACAUAUUGGCCAAAUACUGAGGCUUUGAUAAGUGAAUUCCUCCUGUGAAGUAUGAGACUUGAAUGCCUAGGAAAAACUUGAGCUCCCCCAAUACUCGUAGUGGAAAUUCUUUGUUCAGAUUUGUGAUUAUUUCUUGUAUUUUUUCUUCAAUUGAUUCGACGACGACGAUGUCAUCGACGUAUACGAACAAAAAUGCCGUGAACUCAUUAUGUUUUAGAACAAAUAGAGACGGGUCUAACGGUGACUCUUUGAACCCCAAUUUUACGAGAAAUUUCCUCAAUGUCUGAAACCAACACUUCGGUGACUGUUUUAAUCCAUACAUUGAUCUAUGGAGAAGGCACAUAUGAUCUGGAUUCUUCGAGUCCACAAAUCCGAAUGGCUGAGCUACUACAAUUCUUUCUUUCAGUUCCCCAUGGAGGAAUGCGUUCGAGAUGUCUAGUUGGUGCAUCUUCCAACCUCUCGAAACUGCUACUAGUAAAACCAAUCGAAUUGACAGUGGGCGGAUGACUGGGCUGAUGGUCUUCAUGUAGUCUGUACCAAGUUUCUGCCUCAUCCCAUUUGCAACUAACUUAGCCUUGAAGCGUUCAACCGAUCCAUCUUCAUUCGUUUUUAUUUUGUACACCCAUUUUGUAUUGAUUAUACUAUCCCCUGUUUCUUUUGGCACCAAUGUCCAGAUUCUGUUACGUUUCAAUGCUUCAAACUCCGUUGUCAUAGCGUCCUUCCAUUUGGGAAUUGUAAGGGCGUAUUUCGCGGAUCUUGGGACCGGAAUUUCCGUUGCAGUGAUCGCAAGUGCAUACUUCGGAUUUGGUUUAUGUAUGCCAAUCGAAGCUCUUGUUAUAAUUCUCGACGUUCGUUGCGGUAUCUCCUCGGAAUCGGAAUCUGAUUGUAACUCCUCUGUGUCAUCGUUGAAGAUGUCAGAAAUGCUUCCUAAAACCGUCGCUUAUUCAUUGCCUUGUAUGUGCCGUUCUUCUUCCGGUGUGAGGGGUGAGCUUUACUGGUGCCUCCAAGUUUGUCGGAUCUCCAAUAUUGUUAUUUAGGUCGAGCGUUCCCAAAUUUGUGAUUUGUAGCGGAUCUUCUUCGCUGGUCCGAUUCUCAAUUUCCAAGUGUGUUUCUGGGUCCCCAAAAUAUUGUUAUUUGGGUUGCAUAUCGGAUCCUCUUGACUGCACUGAUCUUCAAUUCCUAAGUGUGUUUCCUGGUGGGCCAGAAUAUUAUUAUUUGGUUUAAUUACUCCCAAAGUUGUGGAUCGUAACUGAACUUGCUUACUGGACCGAUCCCCAAUUUGAUGUGAAUUAUCAUUUUGGUCCCCGAAAUAUUGUUUAUUUGCUUUGAAAUCCUCCUCGUUGAAGAUUACAUUUCUAGAAGCAUAUAUUCUCCGGCUUUUCAGCUCUAGGCAUAGGUAGCAGUUUUGCGACAUCGAAUAACCAAUAAAGACGCAACUUGAUGAUUUUGCAUUUAAUUUGUUGUCGCAAUAAGGACGGAGGCAAGGGUAACAGGCGCAACCGAAGACUUUGAAUUGUUUAUACUCUGGUAGUUUCUUGAACAUAACUUCCAUCAGGGAUUUAUUGUUCAAUAACGAAGUAGGAUUCCUGUUAUAGAGAUAGUUUAUCGUAAGUACACCGAAGUCCCAGAACUGAUUUGGUAACCCAGAAUGUCGUAAUAAUAUCACUGUAGUAUCAAUCAGAUGACGAUGCCGACGUUCUACCAUGCCCAUUUGUUGGUGGGAAUAAGGCGCAACUAAUCUGUGUGCGAUCCCUAAUUCAGCCAAUCGUUUACCCAGCUUUAUAUAUUCCUUUGCAUUAUCUGACUGAAGAGCUUGAAUUUGUUUUCCGCUCUGUCUUUCGGCCCAACAUCUGAAUUUCUCGAAUAUUUUGUAAAUAUCCGAUUUUUUCACCAUUGGAAAGACCCGGUUGAAACAACUACUGGUAUCUAUGAAUUUUAUGUAGUAAUUCUAACCUUCAAAUGAUGUUACGGGGGCUGGUCCCCAUAUAUCAGAAAAAAUUAAUUCCAUUGGCUGGUACGUUGUAUUUCGGGAGGGAUGUGGAAGAGUUUGUGAUUUUCCCGGUUGACAGGAUUUACAGAAAAUCAUAGGUUUUGUAUUUGACUUUAUUAAACCAUUUUUCUCAAGUGUUGACAUGUAUUUAGAAUUUAGGUGGCCGAGUCGGCAAUGUCAAAGAAAGUGUUCUACAUUUUCACACAAGUUUAUUGAUCCUCUGUUCACUUUUGUCUUCAUUGGGAGUUCGUAUAACUCUCCGCGAACUCCUCCUUCUAGUAUGAGUUAUUUAGUAGCCAAGUCGUGAAUCCUGACUUUCUGUGAAUCAAACGAAACAGAAACGUUGUUAUCGUUACAUAACCGAUUAACAGAUAACAGAUUUCUAGUGGCAGUGGGAACCAACAAUAAAUCUCUAACACAAGAUGACCCAGUAAAUUUUGUAACACUCUCCUCGGAUUUUGUAAUUUUCAGGGGUGUUCCGUCAGCCGUGAAAAGUUUAUCUUUACCUGUGAGAGUAUAUUUUCACCUGAGUUUGUGAUGUAAGAUGUGGCCCCUGAAUCAGGGUACCACAUUGUCAUCAUGUCCGCUAGAGGAUUGUAACCAACCGUGUUAAUCGAGCCACGCUUUCCUCCAUUAGGGUCAGUUGGAGACAAGGUCCGGUUAUGAUUGGGUGGGAAACGGGAUAGAUUGAUGCGGUUGUAACAGUCGACGGCUCCAUGCCCCUUCUUCAGGCAGAUCUGGCACCAGAGAUUGAACCUCUGUCCUGAGCUUGAUUUCCCAUCGUUCUUUGGUGCUGAAUCAGUUUAUGCCACAACAUUUAUUUCGCUGGAAUCGAUUUUAGAUGCCGCGAUUCUUGACCCAAUCCGGAGCUCCUAGUCUAUCGAAAGUUCGCCGAACUCAGAAAAUGUUAGGUUAGGGUCCCAUCGUGUGGUGACGAAGGUCACGAACGCCUCAUAAUCAUCGUUCAAUCCUUGCAAUGUGUUCAGGAUUACUUCCGACUCUUUCAAUUUCUCGUUGGUUGCCGCAAGUGUGUCCUUUAGGACAGAGAUUUUCGCGAUGUACUCCUCCAUUUGCAUUCCCCCUUUUCUGAUCAACUGUAGUUGCAGACGAAGAUGCAACUGCCUCGUUUGUGUCCCCGAUGUGUACAGUCGCUGCAAGCACGUCCAGACUCCGGCGGAAGUUUUGUAUGACACCACCUGAGGUACUAUUGACGUCGAAAUCCCGGUUAGAAUCCAACUCAAGAUUAACUGAUCUUGUUGGAUCAUUUCUGGCGUGUCGAGGUUGAUUUCCCCUUUCACGUAACCCAUUAACUCGAACCCGCUUAACAUCGCGGUGAAUUGUGUUGGAUCGAGAUCCGAGGCUAUAAGGGGGGAUAAUAGCCUCUUUUCGAUUAAUGCAAGUUAAUAGCGAAAUUACCUGCACACACUUAAGUACACAAAUGGUUGUAUAAUAAUAAUAGUAUAAUAUUGUAAUUAGCAAUAUAAUACUAUUAUAUAAUUUUAAAGAAUAUAAUAUUAUAUCUUAUAAUAUUAUAUAUUGGACUUGCCUUUUGCUCUUUAAGUUUACUACAAUAUAUGAAUACGUAGUCAACUUUUCAGAUGGUGUUUUAUAAACAACUAUAGUGUAUGAAUACUAAGUUAUAUUAUAAACACAAGUUAUAUUAUAGAGUAAAUGACCAGAUAACUGGAUAUAUGAUAAGCAAGUAAAUGACCAGAUAACUGGAUGUAUUGAUAAACAAGUAGAUGACCAGAUAACUGGAUAUAUAUAUGAUAAGUAAAUGCUUGAACAAAUAUGAAUAAAGCAAUGAAUAUAACCUCAGAUGGUUGACCAGAUAACUGGAUGAGGGAUCUGCGUAAAGUAGUCAACCUCUGUAUUUGACCAGAUAACUGGAAGAGGGAUCUUUUUAAUUAAGUGUUGUUUUUAGAUAAAAAAUAAAACUAUAAUUAACAGAGAACAACACAAGAGAUUUAUACUGGUUCACCCAAACAAGGGCUAGUCCAGUCCCGACCAACUGCCGGAAUUCACUCGCCUAAAGGUAAUGGCAAAACCUUUCUAAGCUUUAAGGCUACUUCGCUUAGGAACCAGUCUUUUACGGGUAGACUCACACCUUAGAGUAUUAAGGGCACUCUUAAGAACCUCUAACUUUUACGGGUAAGUUAGUACCUUAGAGUAUCAAGGCACUCUUAACAACCUCUCUAAGCUUUAAGGCUACUUCGCUUAGGAACCAGUCUUUUACGGGUAGACUCACACCUUAGAGUAUUAAGGGCACUCUUAAGAACCUCUAACUUUUACGGGUAAGUUAGUACCUUAGAGUAUCAAGGAACUCUUAAAAACCUCUGAAAUCUUUAAAGGUAGACUCAACCUAAGAGUUUUCCCGGAAACUCUAUAAAACCAAACUAGAGCUUUAUGGUUGAGCUCACAAACCUUCUCUAACACUUUGGUACUAUUGAGACAACCCUCUCAACCAAAGUGGACACACACAAGAGGUGAUUAGAGGAGUGGAAUAUUAAAGCAAACAACACUUCUUACUUGUAAAGAUGAACAAGAAGAUUAGAAGAAGAAGUUGGAGAGCUUUUGAAGCUUUGGAAAGCUAGGACACUUGAACACUUGAAAGCUUGGAAGCUUGGAGGCAAAAACGUGUGGGCAAGUGUGGAGUGAAAGCUCUUGAGUUUGCUUGUA